GCAUUGUGCCUCACUCAUGAUCUUGGACCUAAAAGUAAAUGUAUCCCCUGAAUCAAAAUUAAUGACAGGAUGAGAUUAUUUGAAUUGAUAAAUUUACUCAUUAAAUUUAUUUUUUUAAUAAACCCACUAUUGCAAUUAAAGUAUGAGAAAUGAUAUAGCCACAAACUCUUGUACAAACUUAUUUUGUACAAACUGAUGUGGCAUGAUAAGAUUGGUUGAAUUAAAUAUCACUUGGCCCAUAUGAUUUGUUCUUAUUAUUUUAUAUUUUUAUUCAACCAAUGAAUUAAUGUCACGUCAGUUUGUACAAAAUAAAUUUGUACAAGAUUUUGUGGAUGUAUCAUUACUCUUAAAGUAUUAGAUUUUUGAGUAAUGAUAUAGCCACAAACUCUUGUACAAACUUAUUUUGUACAAACUGACGUGGCAUGAUAAGAUUGAUUGAAUUAAAUAUCACUUGGCCCACAUGAUUUUUUUUUUAUUUUAUAUUUUCAUUCAACCAAUGAAUUAAUGCCACGUCAGUUUGUACAAAAUAAGUUUGUACAAAAGUUUGUGGUUGUAUCAUUACUCUAGAUUUUUACUCUAUAUACCCUAUAAAAAUUUCAAAAAUAAUCUCAAUUAAAAUAUUUUUCUUUAUUCGUUAAAAAAAAAAAGUAAUCCUUUCUCUCACUUCAUACAUAUCCCAAUUUGUUUUGAAAAGAAUUAAAAGAGUAAUAUUAAAGCCUAAUUGGGGGUCUGCCUCUUGCUGUUUUGCUUCAAACUUCUAUAGCUUUAUAGAAAGUUUUUAAAUAUAAAAAUAAUGUCGAUAGUAAUAUUUCACCGGAAUGUAUUGUAUUGGAUUUUGUUUUGAUUCCAUUGAAUAAUAGUGUUCUAGUUAGUAAUUAACCGGCAUAUAUACGAGAACCCAACUGAUGCAAUAUUUCUUCUUUGUCCUAUUUUUUGAUUACCGAGAUUUGAAGUUUACGUAAAGAAGAAGAAAAGCAAAGAGAGCAACAUCAGUAAAUCGAAAACUAAUUACUUUUCUUUGUUUUGGGAUCUGAAAAAAUUCGUCUCUGUAAGCUUUGCCACAUUUGUUUUUCCCAUUUGUAGUCUUAGAGUUUUUUUGUUUGGACAUUUAAAUGUUGACAAUUGGAAAAUUGUAAGAUCGUAAAAGAGAAGAGAUUAAGUGAUAUAUAUAUAUAUGUAGGAAACAAACAGUUUAUAUGUUUUAUCAUAAAAAUGGGUGCAAAAUUAUAAUUUUUAUUUGUUUAUAUAAAUUUUCUUGUCCUUGAAUGCAAUUUUAUUUAAAGAUAAAUGAGUAAUUAAAAAAUUUAUUCACUGGUAGGUUUAGAGAGUAAAAUUAUGAGUUCAAAUAAUCUUACCCUUAAUAACAUCUUGCUUCCAUUGCAAGAGUUAAACCGAUUGAGUUAUCCUUUAAUGAUAAAAAAUUUUCAAAAAUUUAGAUUACUUUAGCCGAGCAAAAUCGUCUGUAUUUUAAUUGCACGGGCAAGCCAAACACUUGUGCUAAUCAAAAUGGGCAAAAUCCGAUUAAUUUCAUCGCAUAAAAAUAAAAAGAAAGAAAGAACAACAUUUUUGCCCCAUCUUUCUUUUAACAUACUUCCAUAAACUACAAGAGGGGUGAAGGUUUGGAGGAGAUUAAUUUUUUUUAUAUUUUAUUCAAUCAUUGAAUUUUAUUUUUUCUAUGAAAUUACAUUGAUUUUAUCAUAUGUUUUUUUUUAAUUCAAUCAUUAAAUUCUGUUUUUCUAUGAAAUUAAAUCAGUGUGAUUAGAUUUUGAUACCAAUAUGGCAUAUUUCUCCAUGACAAUUAAGAGUUUUGACUUUGCAAUUACAUAUAACAAACAAUCUACUUGUUCUCUUUUUUUUGUUCCUGAUGUUGUCACUAGAUUAAUUUGACAACAUUGUCACUUGUGCUCUUCAAUCUACUUGUGCAGAAGCAGCAGAAGCAGAGGACUGAGCUUGCACCAAUUGUCACUCCCAUAUCUGUCAAGGGGGGAUACCGUGGAAUAAAGCCAAUUGUCACAUCUUCCACGAUUUUCUCUGGAGACAAUUCAGCUUCCUUGAACCCCAUGCAGGGUUCAAGGACCUUGUCUUUUGACAAUAAAACAUCUUCCCUUGAUGAUGAUUCGAAAGGUCCUCCCGGCCAAUCGAACUGCGAAAGUGCGAAGUCUCCUGUUGAUCAUAUUGCAAAUCCGUAUGCUUGCUGUGACUUCGGUGUCUUUCUGCAGACACGACUUCGUUUAGGUUCUCUCGACCUUGUCAGAAACCAAAUUAAACCCCAACGGCCAUCUAUUAGGGGCAAAUAAGGGUUUAGUGUUAUGCUGGUUUUAACCUAGAAUUGUACCCUUCUUAGGCUUAGGUAGGACUUCUAAUUAGUAGGAGCAUUCCGAGUCUGGUUGUUGUCAUCGUGUAUUUCCUAAUGUUGUCUUAUUGGUGUAGCAUUUCAAAUGCAUGUAAUUGGUGUGUCAUUCGGCUGAUUUGAUAGUUUGUAUUCAAAUAUUCAGUUUUAAGUGGAUGUUUUGGUACUCCUGCAUCUGAAAAAUUGAUUUCAUCUGGAUGUUUUAUUCAUGAAUGAUUUUGAGUCUUGAAGCAUUGCACUGUUUUCAAGCAUCAUGAAAAAUUGCAGCACUCUUUCCCCAGAAUGACCAAUCAAUCCAGAUCGUUUUCAGAAUUAACCAUUUUGAGAAAUUCAUAAGAACUGGAUUACCAUUUUUCACAUUUUCACUUGCAACUAUAAUAUUUUAGUAUCAAAACCAGGGGUGAUAUAAAUAAUAUUGACAAUUGCCAGAGGAUAGAGGGUGAUAAUAGAUGGAUCAUUGCAACUUGCUUUACUUAAAAGUCGAUUGAAAAGGAAAACAGAGCUUAAGAAUUGAAAAGUAUAUCCAUCAGCAUGUAGAACAGAAGAACCAUAUCCAUUGGUUGGAAAUAAAGAAAACCAAAGCAGAGAAUAAAAGCAUAUACUGCUACUUCCAAGCAUAAAAAGAUACUGCUACUGCUAGAGCAGCAUUGCAUGGCUGAAUAUAACAGGGGAUAAUUGCUAGCUCCACCUAACAAUAAUUCUGAAAUAAAAUGCACGAAUAACCAGCAAGAACAAUCAAAUGCCAAGUUUAGACUGGCAGAAUUGUGACUGGAAGACUGGCAGAAUUGUGACUGACUAAGAUUAAUCAAACAGAAUAACAUUAAGCAACUAGCAAUUUUCCUUUAAGGACAAACACUGCAAGUAUCUAGCGCAUAAAAGAUUACAUAGACCAAAAGAACCAAAAUUUCCCAACAGGCUACAACAAGCAGAACCCGUAUUACCUCUUCCUUCUCUUAUUUCCAGCACCAUCACCUUUACUGAAGCCUCUCAAAUCAUCAGUGGUAUCAGAUGUGUUUUGUUUCUUCAUACUUUUCUUCCCCCCAAAGCCAAACUUGGAAUUUCUAAAAUCUCUAUUCUUCUUCUUUUUUCCCUUUCCACCAUCACCACCACCACUUUUUCUUGCCUUCCCACCAGACCGAUCUCCUGGCGACACCCCUGGUCUCUUCUUAUUUGACCUCUCAAAUGACUUCCCACCUUCAAAGGCCAAAUCCAAUUCACCCUUGUCGACUUCCACGGCAAACCCACUUUGUUGCCUCUGCUUCCUCCACUUCUUAACAGAUUCUAUUUCCUCUUUUUUCUGCUUCGCUCUCUCCUUUGUCUUUUGGACCUGAAUCUCUUUAGCUAGUUUCUUAGCCUCUCUAGCCUUCUUUCUCUCCGCAGCCUCCUCAAUCUCUUUCUGCUCAGACAAAAGUCGGCGCUUCACCUUUUCCAUGUGAGCAUCCGACUUAACCAUCUCUGCAUAAUAAUCAGCCGGUCUAAGAAAAGGCAGCCCCAUCGAUUGAAGCUUCUCAAAGGCCCACCUUGUCCCCUCUAAUGCCUGUGUAUAGAAAGAAGCCUCCCUUUUCAGAUCAUCAUUCACAUCCACCUCUUGCUCUUGAUCAAUAUCAAUGGUAAGCUUAUGUAUCCACCCAGCAUUUUCCGGCCAACUAAUAUCUUGAAGCUUCUCCUCAAGACCAUCUCUGUUGUACACAGCCUGCUUUGAAGGCUCGGCCAAUUUCACAUCCUCCUCUCCUUCCGAAUCUGAUUCAGAUUCAGUAACUUCCUCAUUGAGCUCACUCACAUCUUCAUCUUCAAAUCCAUCCUCAUCAGAAACCUGUCAAAAAGAAAAAUUGAAAAGAAACAACAUCAACAUCCAGACUCUCACGAGCUCAAGAUAAUUCAACCCCAGCAUUACUUCCUUAGGGAAAUUUCCAAGAAAAAAAAUACAUCCAUUUAUUAGUAUACAAUCGAUUAAACUCCUAGGAUCAACAACUAAGCUAAAUAGAUAGCAUCAUGCACUCACAAAUGAGUUAAAUUUGUAAUCCCAGAGAGAGAACCGAUUACAGGGAAGCCUACGGAGCGGUUAAAAUAUAGGAGAUGGGUAGGGGUCAGGGACGGGAAGACUUGCUUUUGUUGUUCCUAUUCCUUAUCAUAUUACCUAUUAUAUUAUCUUUUUUAGGAGGGUCGAUUGAGAAUACUCCUGCUCAUCUUCCAGCUCCUUUAAUAUUGAAACAUAAUUAUCAAGAAAAUCUCAAGAUGUUCGUUAACUGUUCCUUAAGGUCUAGACUAAAUAAUGAAUUGAAAAUAAUAUAAAAUAAAUUAAGCAGAAAUUGCGAGAAAAAAAAAAAAAAAAAAAACCUUUUUGAUGCAGCUUCUGAAGACUGCAACCCUCUGUAAAACCCCAGCGAGCUUUGCAAGAUGUAUCAAGAUGGUUCUUCGGUGAGUAAAAUCUAGACAAUCGGCGGCCGGGUGCGGGUAAGACCCGGUGAGAAUAGGGGAAUAAGGCUUAGUCCAUGGUCCAAGUAGAGCACUAAGCCCAAACUACAUGGAAGCCCAACUCAAUUUCAAGUUUUUUAACAUAUUUUCAAGGAAUUAUUGUUAUAAUUCAAGUUGCUUGUGAUUUUAGUUUUUUAAAAAAAAAAUUCAAGUACUAAAUGUAUCCCCUGAAUCAAAAUUAAUGAUAGGAUGAGAUUAUUUAAACUCAAUUUUUUUUACUUAUUAAACCUAUUUUUUAAAUAAACCCACUAGAUUUUUACUCUGUACACCCUAUAAAAUCUAAAAAAUAAUCUCAACUAAAAUAUUUUUCUUUAUUCGCAAAAAAAAAAAAAAAUGGUACUACUUUCUCUCACUUUAUACAUAUUUGAAAAGAAUUAAAAGAGUAAUAUUAAAGCCUAAAUUGGGAUCUGUCUUGCUGUUUUGCUUCAAAAUUCUAUAGCUUUAUAGAAAGUUAUUAAAUAUAAAAAUAAUGUCGAUAGUAAUAUUUCACCUGAAUGUAUUGUAUUGGAUUUUCAAUUUUGUUUUGAUUCCAUUGAAUAAUAGGGUUCUAAUUAACGGGCAUACGAGAACCCAACUGAUGUAAUAUUUCUUCUUUGCCCUAUUUUUUUAUUACCGAGAUUUGAAGUUUCUGUAAAGAAGAAGAGAAGCAAAGAGAGCAACAUCGGUAAAGCAAAAAGGUCCAAUUACUUUUCUUUGUUUUGGGAUCUGAAAAAAUUCGUCACUGUAAGCUUUGCUACAUUUUUUUUUUUUUUCAUUUUCAGUCUUAAUAGUUUUUUUGUUGGGACAUUUAAAUGUUGACAAUUGGAAAAUUGUAGGAUCGUAAAAGAGAAGAGAUCAAGUGAUAAAUAUAUAUGUAGGAAACAAGCAGUUUAUAUGUUUUAUUAUAAUGCAAAAUUAUAGUUUUUAUUUGUUUGUAUAAAUUCUCUUGUCCUUGGAUGUAAUUUUAUUUAAGGAUAAAUUAGUAAAUUAAAAAUUUUGUUCACCGAUGGAUUUAGAGAAUAAAUUUGUGGGUUCAAAUAAUCUUACCCCUAAUAAUUUUAUCUUUAAAAUAAAAAAUAAAAAAACAACAACAACAUUUUUGCCCCAUCUUUCUUUUACCAUACUUCCAUAAACAACAAGAAGGGUGGAGGUUUGGAGGAGAUUUAAUUUUCUUAUAUUUUAUUCAAUCAUUAAAUUUUAUUUUUCUAGAAAAUUACAUUAAUUUUCUCUUUUUUUUUUAAUUCAAUCAUUAAAUUCUGUUUUUCUAUGAAAUUAAAUCAGUGUGAUUAGAUUUUGAUACCAAUACGUCAUAUUUCUCCAUGACAAUUAUAGUUUGACUUUGCAAUAUAUACAUAACAACAAACAAUCUACUUGUGCUCUUGAAAAAGUAUUUAGUCAAUCUUAAACUAGCAUGAUCUGCACCUUGAAAAUACAAAUUUCUUUGAUUUAUUAGUUGAUUCAUACAAUUUAAUUAACAUGGUACGUACAUAUACCACUGUAACAUUUGAUGCCUGAGAACCAUUUACUUUUAAGUAUUGAUUUUAUAUUGAAAAUUCAUUUUCGUACGAACUAUUGAGAUUAGAUUCUGCCCUCCAGUUUAUCAGCCCUGAUGAGAGGAUUAUCCUUGACCAACAUUUCACGAUCGAACUUCUUGAAAUCAAACGUGCAUGCGUGCUCUUUAGGGUACCUGUGCGUCCCGCAAUACAAGUGCCCACAGCGGCAUUUAAACUCUAUCAAUCCAACUUUCUUGUUGCAGAUUUCACAUCUUCUUUUGACACUCGAACCUGCUGCACCAGACUCAAUAGUACGAGAAUCAACAGCAUUGCUAUUGUUAGUUGUCUUGGCGGCUGAAAUAAUCCACUGCGGCGGCCAAGAUUUGUCGAGAACUGAAGGGUUUGGUGCAUUUGUUGGGCCGAUAGGUUUUUUCGCCGCGUCCAAUAACUUGGAUGACUUCGCAAUGAGUUCUGCUUUCAAAUAGUCAUCGUAGCACUUUGAGCACAUGUUUUUGUUUUCUUUAGAGCCAUAAAACCCACAGCCCUUUAUGCACAUAGUUACGUUGUUACGAUCCAUCGAUCUUUCUUCUUCUGCUUCGUGAAUUAAAGAGAGCAAAACUAAGGAGUUUUUUUCUGUGUUUCUGUAGAUGAUUUUGAUAGGCGAAUAUCGUAUGUUUACAGGUAAUAUAUAGAGAACCCCUUUUUUACCUUAUCUGCAUUGGAUUUCAAGUCCAAGUAGGAUUAAGACGUAACGUGUCCUAAACGAAGUGGGAAAUAUCAGAUUUUAAAACUCCAGUUAAGUUUAGGAAAAGAGCUUCUAAAACUAAAGACUCUGACAUCCUAAAUCAUUUAGGAAAUUGAAAUUUCAUCAACAUAAAUGAGAGAAAUCAAUUAUGACGUUUGAGAAUUGACCACGUUCUAUUUUGACACUUGUAAAGAUGUGGGACAACCGACCUUUGCCUUAUAUCCGGCUAAUGCACAAGAAAAGGCUUCACCAAACCCGCUCAACAAUCGCGCCCUUAAAGUGUUAACCUCUCUGUUUCUAUAAUAGACAUUGAGAGGAGGAGAGCAGGUAGGCCUAAUUUUCUCAGACACAAAAAUGGUAGUCGUUAGCAAACUCCUCUAACCCACUUUCUUAACCUAUUAUAUAAAUGAAAGAGCAGUAAUAGAACAAUGCACAAGGAAUUAUAGCUUUAAUUCCAGAAUGGCUGAGACGGACACGGAACUUCCAAAAAGAAAGAAUGUCAGGCAACCGCCUGCAGUCCCUUUUCUUUGGGAGCAGAAGCCAGGAAUACCUAAAAAGGACUGGAAACCAAAGGAUUCUUCAGUUAGUCCAAUUGUAGUAACUCCUCCAGUCAAGCUCAUUGCCUCCAUACCUUUUGAUUGGGAGGAAAAGCCUGGAACACCAUUACCCAGUUUCUCACAGCCAGCAGUACUUCCAAACCCACCAGAAAAGCUCUUAGCUUUACCACCGCCGCCUCCAAUGUACUCCCAAGGCUAUUAUGGCAUUUUCAACAAUGAUGAGGCCAGUGAUGAUGAUCAUGACAAGCAAAAUGAUUCGUUUGAUUUCGAUACAGAUGAUUCAUUCAGCUCCGCUCCCUCUCUCCUUGCAAACUGCCUUGUACCAUCGGUAGCUAUUUCCUCUGCUGUUCCAGUGCAGAGAUCUCUCUCGAGUGACACCACAACUGAUGAACUGGAGAUCCCUUCAUCACCAGCUUCGGAAGCAGAAAGUAGUACAAGCAGCUAUGAAACUGGCACUUCAAGCCUUGUGGGGGCUUCUUUCUUGGAAUGCCUCUUUCCACUACUCCCACCCAAAACCAGUUUCCUUGAAAAGGCGAGGUACACUGAGAGCGACUCUGUUAUUGUUACUCCAGAAGUUAAAAGAAAGGAUUUUGACUGUGAAAGUAAUAGUACUGUCGUUAUUAGGAGGCCAACAACACUUGGAGAACUGAUAAUGAUGAGUCGCAGGAGGAGUUACCAAAGAAAAGCCGUUCAAAUGAGAAAACAGAACCUGUCAAUGGUAAAUCCCCAACUCUUGCCUCUUUUUUACCAUCACUAGGACUGCAUUUCCUCUUAGGCUACAGGAGAACUGGGAAGUAUGUAGAAGAAAAAGCUAUUCAACGAAGAAAUGAGAGCGAAAAUAACAUAUUUAUUUCCUUUUGACACGAUCAUGGAAACAAAAUUCAUAUUUCUAACCAUAUUUUGCACAAUAAAACUCACAAACAACUUUAUUCUUGCCUGAAUGCAACUAUAACAGGAAUUUGAGAAGAGGCCUUUUGGAUGCUGUGCCUUUGGGAGUAGCAUCAAAAUGUUUGAAGGAUUGCAAAGGAAGAAACAACAGCUGAUACUGAAAUUUUUACAGGAGUAAAAGCCCAAUCGCCCAUGUGGUUCAAAAUCACCCAGCAAUCCAUGCCUGCCAUUAAACUCUUCCAAAUCAUUCUAGUUUUCUAUUUCCAGCAUUGAUGUACAUGAUUUAACAAAUCCCAUAAUGUAAGCUCAAUGCUAAAUCCUUCGAGUUCCAAGAGAACUGAACUAGACCUUUGUUCAAUUAAGAAGCAGUGCAUGUCCCCAUAAUUUUCCCAAAACAUUAAUGAUGGCAAUAAUCUUACAUAUGAAAUUCCUCUCAGCAUUUAUUUACAAGUUUCAGCAACUUUUUGGAUCCUUUCAAUGACUAAAGGGAUAUCCUCGUGGGUUAAAGAAGUAAAACAACACCGGAACCAUCCCGGUUCUAUACAGUGGCAGGCCGAGCCAGGAGUAACAUUGAUCUUAGCAAUGUUCAAGAGCUUAUCCCAUAAUUCAAGUUCCCCUUUCUCACUGUAAGAGGGGAUUAGUCCACUCAUAUCAGCCCAGCAAUAUAAGCCAGCACUGCUCUCUGAGCACCUGAUUCCUAAUUGUUUCAAACCUGCCACAAAUGAAUCAUACAGUUUCUUUAUCCUCCUUUUAUUGGUCUCUAAAUAUUCCUGGAUGAACUUUGUAUCUGAGAGCAUGGAAAUUAGGAGCCUCUGAGUGGGGGCUGAAAUAGAACAAAAUCUUGUUAAUUUUUUGGCAGCGGCCAAAACACUCUCAUUAUAGGAAUAGAUAACCCCGGUCCUAAAUCCCGGAAGAGAGAGGUCUUUCGACAACCCGUAUAUUAUAUGAACUCUAUCCUUGUCAACUUCUUCUGCCUCGAGAAUUUCCGCCAUGCUCACAAACUCUUCAUUUCCAAAGAUGGACCCCCCAUAUAUUUCAUCAGAAAUUACAUGGAUGUUCUUCUCUCUCGCAAAGUCCAAAAGCUCAUAGAGUGUUUCCCGUGGAAUUAUAUUGCCAACAGGAUUCGCUGGGUUGCAGAUGAGAAUUCCACGAACUUUCACCCCACGUUUUCUUGCCUGAUUGAACGCUUGAUCAAGGGCAGUUAUACUAAAAGCGAAGUUAUCAGUGCUGCGACAGUGUACAGGAAUUAGCUCCACUCCCGUUCGAAAUCUGAUAUCCCUAUCAAAACUGGAAAUUGUUUGUUAUUAACUUUUGAUACCCAAACAAAAUGAAUUUCAUCAGUUCAAAGGUUUGAAAUGAUUGAUAAUUACCCAGGAUAAUAAGGCGAGGGAACAAGCAAUGCAUUCCCAUGAUCUGCCAAGCAGAAGCAUAGUAUCUCAACCGCAGGAGUUGCACCAGCAGUUAAUACUAUUUGAGAGGGGUCAAAUGAGACAGCUUGCCCCAAGACCUGAGACAUGAAACCUGCCAUAGCCUGCAGCAGUGCAGCACAAAUAUAUAUUAAUCUUAUCAUGCCACAUCAGUUUGUACAAAAUAAAUUUGUACAAGAGUUUGUGGCUGUAUCAUUACUCAUAUUUAAGAAAGCACAGACAAAAUGUAAUCAUUUUAGACAAUCGGCUGUUUUUGCACAAAUAAUUGAAUGCAACAGUCAUAAUAGCACAGGACAUAUGACAUCCUUCAGAAUCAGAAGCAGUUAAAGCAAUUUGAUUUCAAUGGACUCCAAUGACACAAAAACCAAGAUCAGUAAUUCAAAAUAGCAAAAAGUUACUAUAUUGAUAAAACUUUUUGAAGUAUAAUCUCAACAUUUUGCAUUUUUUGUAUGCUAAAGGCUCAAAAAUGAGUUCAUUAUCCCAUUUACUAUAAAGUCUUGCAUGCAUGGUUGUUGUCUUCUACUCUACUUCCAACAAUGCGGCAAGGCUAAUGCGGAGGUUCAUGGGGAAGCAUUACACAGUUUAGUAAGCAAACUCUAAAAUUUUAAUGGUCGUUAUUCACGUAAACUAAGCUGCCUUUAACUCAAUAAACUCAACACUUUGUAAAGGCAGUACACUAGAUUCUCAAUUUACAAUCACAAGUGCAUCGCAAAGUAAACGGCACUUACUAGUUACUAAUUAUGUAAAAUAAAAUAGAGAGAUAUAAUAAAAUUACCACUUUAAGCUCCAUCAUUCCAUCAAACGGCUGGUAGGUCGUAAUCCCACUGAUACUCAAAUCAUCACCGUCCCGUCCCAUUAUAGAAUCACUCAAGUUCUCCGACACCCAUUUCUCAAUCAAAUCCAAACACAACUAAAACCAACAAAACAAAAUUAAAUAAAUAAACGAUUUACACGACAAAUGCAAAUAAAUAAAUACAAAAAUGAAAACGAAUAGCUUAAGUUUAAAUUAACUGUGUUCUCGGCCAAUCCAAGCUGAAUAAUCCCAUUCGGAUUAUUGAUUUUAUCAUAGGGAUCGUCCCGAAACUUAUUCCACCCGAUAUAAUACGGAGAAUCGUCCGGCUUCGCAAUCGAGCUCCCCCGGGCCGAUAUCCGAACCGGACCGAGCGAUCCACGCGACGACAAAGUAGACCGCGAGGAAGUUCUAGGGAGUCCAGCGAGGUUGGAGGAUGAGGCGGAGGGGGAGGGAGGGUUUGGGGAACGGUGGCGUUUCAAGUAAAACUGGAGGAAGUAGAAGAGCGCGCAGGGGAUUAGAGAGCCCAAGAUAAGGCCGCCCCUGCCUUGGACUACGCCUUGUAAGGGCACAAUCAGUCUCAUGGCUGUGGCAGAUCAGUCUCAUGGCUGUGGCGGUGGUCGGCUUGCGGUGCUCGGGUUCCGUGGUCCGAUGGGAUUGGGUCAUGUGUUGGGUUGGUCGGGCCCGAUUGAACUUCACGCACCUCGGGUGAUCCGCCCUCCGUGUAGAGAGAAGAAUGACAUGAAUGAGAUAGGGUGGCUGUUGGUGAUUCGGACUUUUUGGUCUGGUGGUUUGGUGAGAGACAGUGGUUUAAAAAACUAAUAAUAAAAUAUUUUAUUUGGAAGAGACUUAAGAGUGUGUUUAGUUAGAACCGUUCGCGUCGCUAGAAGAAAUGGGAAGAUUAGAUAGGGGUGGGGCUCUGCAGCUGAGUUUACUACAUUUGUCCUCAUUAGUGAUUGGGUCCAUGAUAUCAACGCCUAUGAAGCAAAGACACAAAAAGUUACAUAGCUUACAGAUUCUGUAACAUACGCACCCAAUGCAUGCACCACACCUGUCCUGCGUAUGGAGAAAAAGCAUGCAAUUGUUUUUGUUUGGUAGCUAGCUAACCAAUCAGGAGCUGGCUAAGUUGGAUCUGUAUGUUACAGAAUCUGUAACUUAGCCAGCUCCUGUGUUAUAAGACCCGUUUGGAGCAGCCUCGCGGUGAGGUCAAUUCUUGGAGAACAGCUACCCUAAACGGGUCUAUAAUUAAUAAUUAUCAUCUUUUUUUUUUCCAAAUCGGAAAACCAAAGUUCUUUUUUAAAUUUCAAACUAUCCUCAUUAAAGUUUGUAUAGUUUGUUGAUAAGGGAAUUGUUCAGUUGGUUUUACCCUGUACAUUCACUAUGCGGUAUCAAAAUAGGUUAGAAUUUGAAUGGACAUGAAUCAGAAUAGGUUGUAAUGGAGAUGGAGAAUGGGAAUCGGAAUCAAAACAGACAUUAUUCUCAUUGAUAAGUUUACUCUGUUUUGAAAUUGGAAUCGGAAUCAAAAUAAGUUAUAUUGUUUCAAAUUAUUAAAAAGUUCUAAUUUAACUAUUAUCAUAAUUAUUAUUUUGUAUUUUAAUAAUUAUAAUAUUAUUAUUAAUUAUUGUUAAUAAUCAUAUUAUUAUUAACACUAAUAUAUUAAUUAAUUAUAAUAUUUUUUUAUCAUUAUCGUCAUCAUCAAUCAUACUAAUAAUCCAUUUCAAACAUUAUAAUAAUAGUAUUAAAAAAAAUCAUGAUGGUCAUCAAUGAAAUACUCUAUUUCCAAUAAUAAUAACAACAAUAAUAAUAAUAAUAAUCAAAAUCGGAAUCAUCAUCAUCAACAACAACAACAACAAUGGCAACAACAAAUCAUUAUUGUCUGCGUCGUCAUCAUCAUUAGAUCGGAAUUAUGUCUAUUGGAGACGAAAUUAGAGACUAAACCAAGACGAAAUCAAGAUGCCCCAAGGGAGGCAAAACUAGCAACCAAUUGCCGCUCCACGGCUGUAGACCUGCAAUGACGAAGAUGAUGGUUGAUUUGGUAGUGAUGACGGUGAUAAAGAUAGUGAGGUUUGGCUGCGAUGGUACAGCUAGCCAGCUAAAUGGAGUUCAAUGCGAGGAGUUUUAUCUUAGGGAUUUGCUGCCUUUUCUUUUUUAUUUUUGCUAUUAAUAUUUUUCAACUAAAAUGAGAGCAUUUUCAAAAUAUUACAAUUUUAAGGGGGGAAAAUGGUUAGUACUAGGAAUCAGUCUCACGUUCGCAAAUUAGGGUGGUUCCCACGAUUUUGAUUAUGAUUCUCGCCUUUAUUUUGUGAAGAAAAAAUUGUUAAUAAUUCUGAUUCCCCAACCCAAAAUGUAAAUGCACCGUAUUGUUUUGGAUAUUUUCCUAUAGCAAAACAACUACGUCCUUAAUAUCAUAGUUAGAAUAAAUUAUGUAGAGAUGAACAAUAAUUAAAAAAAAAAAAGAGUAUAAAGCCAUUUGAUAUUUUCUAUUAAGCUCUCAAUUUAUGUUUCCAUAAAAUAUUAAGCUCACAUUAGAUGACUUAAAUAUUAAACGCAUAUUAGAUGAUAUUAUUGCCUGGCUGCCUAUAGUAGACAGCCCAUCCUCUAGCGCGUAAGAUUAUAAACUUUGGAACAAUGAAAGUUACCUAAAAUUAUAAAUUGCUCCCAAUUUAAUCAUUUCUGUAAGAUUGUCAAUAAUAUAAUGCGCAUACGCGAAUUCAAUUGUCGUUCAGGACGACAAGCAGUGAGUCAAGUUGUGAAAUCGCUUUCAUUCGCAUCAUCCGUUGACUGACUCGUCACUUUCUUUAUCUGGAAUAAUUAUGUUACAAAGUUCCAACCCUAGCCUCUUAAUUUAACAUUUUCUUUAGAAAAGGUAGACAAAGAAAGAAAGUAGAAAGUGGAGUCAUACUAAGUUUAAUCAUAGACAUUAGUUAUCGCUAUUUUUUUGCCAAAAAAAGAACAAUGAUGAUUCUAUGAUUGGUAAAAUAUUAUGAGAAAGAAGUGGGUAAUAAUGGCACUUUUUUUUUUUUUUUCUUUAUGGUCCCAAAGAAAGAGACUAUAAAUUUUGUUGAUCCACUAUUUCUUUAAUGUUAUAAAUAAUCCCCCAAGUUAUAACUAGGGUUUGACUUAAAUCGAGAUCCAUUCCAUUUUAUUAAAAAAAAAAAAAAGAGUUAAGAUUUAUUAAGUGCUCGCUCACUAAAAGAAUUUUUCCAUCUGAGAAGUAGUAGUGGUUUUCACGACACAAAAUCACAAAUUGCAGUGAGCAGUCAGCUGUCAUCACUCCACCACCUUGGCGCUUGAUUUUUGAAUUCGCAACGCAUGCACAAUACUACAAGAGGAGCGUGCUUGCAAAAGGACAAUAAUGUCCUUGGCCACCAAAGCAUGCAUGCAUUCGCUGAGGAUACCACCGUAAAUUCCUGCCUGCCGAUUCUCGGACUUCUUAUGCAGGAUUUUGUUUGCCCGCUGACAAAAGUAACCCUCUGCGCGUUUUUUUCGCAGUGCCGGACCAGUUUCUAGAGAAAAAGACAAAUCAAUACUACCAAGUGUGUGAGCCCGUAAUUGCAACUCAAAGCGACUCUUUUGUCUAUUUUCUUAUUAGGUUUAAAUUUCGAAAAUAUGUGUAUCGUGUAGUUUUGGCAUAUAGCCUCUGCUGUCAUCCAUGACCGUGAGGACCCUUUGGAUCAAAACUUGGCUGUAAAUCGUACGGAUUUUAUUUGGAUUAGACUUUAGGGGGCCUAGCCUAGCUUAUAUCUCAUCGAAAUAACCACAAAAUAUUGUUUGAUUCUCAGCCUGUGAUUCCAUAAUUCAAACGUAACUUUUCUUCAAAAAUUAAAAAAAUCUGAAAAUUUGUUGCUUUCCAUAAUUUUAUUAUAAUUUAAAAGAAGUUGUUAGAGUUAUUAUAGAAAAUUUCCACUUGUUCUACACUUAAAUAUCUAGAAAAAAAAUCAAUCCAAAAAUAGAUAAGGAGAGAAAUAGUUUUUACGAUAGAGACAGAUUAUUGAUCAAUGAACAAAUUGUAUUGUUGUGUUCUUAAACUAGCAUACUUUUUUUUUUUUGAAAUAUUGAUAUAUUACAAUUAUAAUUUUAUUAAUAAUCAGGUAAUAAUUGAGAUUUUAUUUCAUGAUUUUAAUAUGGUAUAGCCCGAUCACUUAAUAUUAGAGGAAAAUUUAUUUUACUCCCAAGGCGGAGGGGUCAAAUAAAUUUCUAUAAAAAAAAAAAAGUAUUGUUGGGACUCGAAUUUAUGUGUUCAAAGUUAUUGGACGCACGAGUCUAUUAGGUAAUAACAGACUUAUUUUAACACUUUAUUAUAAAUUCGACUUACAAAUUCAUUCAAACAAACUAGCGUGGCACACUAUGUGUUAGAAGGAUUAAAAUUUUUGUUCUACCAAAUAGCAAUAAAACAACAUUUAUUUUAAAUUAUUAAAAAAAAUUAUCCGCCGGUAAUUUAAAAUAGUAUCAGUUGUGGGACCCACCAGUUGAAACGAAAAAACAUUGGGUUGCUCUCCUCAAAACUAUAUAAAGGACAUCUUCAACGCUCUGCCUGCGUUCGUUUUCAUUCUCUCCUUUCUUUUUCAUUUCUUGCCACGAAAAUCUCGCCGUUCUCUUCGAUAAUUUAAAAACAACUCUUCUGUCUCUCAUUUUCUGACUCUUUUGUCCCCAGCAAUUAGCGUUCCAAAAUCCAACUAAUUAAUUAAACAAAUCUGUUGCAACCUUCGAAUAGAAAAGAGAGAAAAAAAAAAAAACAGUAAUGGAAUUUUGAAGCGCAUGCUUGCAACUUUCUCUCUCAUUUUUACGAUAAAAUCUUCAAGCGAGAGAAAGUGCACGAUACAAGGAAAAAAAAAUGGUUUUGUGUUAUGUUAGACACGUGGCGGUUUAGUAAUGGAUGAAGAAAUGGAGGAGCUCGUGUUGACGGCGGAGCCGAUCGUGGCGGAAGAAUUUGAAGUUGAUUUUGAUUACGAGUUUGACGCACCUCAAUAUCACGAUUUUACCCUUCCGGAAACGCCGGCUAAGGCUAGAGAAAACGAGCUCUGGUUUGAUUCCGCUGCAAGCUAUCCACCUUCGCGUAAGCAAAACACAGCAAAAGCAUUCGAAAUUUAUCGUUUCAUUUUUGCUGAUUCGUUUGUUAUUUAGAUUAUUUCAUUUUCUGAAUGGCGUUUAUUUCAGCCUUUAUUUUGAAGUUCAACUGGAGAUAUGAUUUCCCUGCGGAUACUGCAAGCGUUUCUUGCGAUUCCAGAGGAGGAAGCAUGAGUUCUAUUGGUAAUGUCUCAUAUUUUGAGACCGAUUCCGAAGCUUUCGACAUUUAUCAAAUUAAUAGAGGUAUUUUUUAUUUUAUUUUUUUAAUCAAUGAGGUACAUUUACAAAGAUGACGCUUUUUUAUUGCUUAUUUUUAUAAUGUAAAAGGAUAUGGUUGUGCAAUUAUGAUAUUUAAAAUUUCUAUGUGGCAGCAUGUGACUGAUAAUAGUUUAUUAAGGAUUGUCCCAUCGUUUUUUUUUUUAAAGCAAAUUAUUUAACAGCCUUAUUCACAUGUAUAUAUGCAUCUUCUAAACCUGAGUCACAAUAAACAAAAUGAUCUGAUUUUUACCUAAUAUAAGCGAUAGCCAGUGUUGUAGACUUCGUAGUGUUCGUCAAUAUCUGUUUUCUUUGUACAUUUUAUUCUAGGGCCAGAAUUUUGUGGUGACAUGGAUCAAGAUGUUUCAAAAUCCAAAACCAAGUCUUUUGCGAAGUCAUCUAUACAGAGGAGUUCGACUUUGAUGAAACCCACGGCAAGUUAUUUGGCCAAAUACAAUCAACUUCAAGAAUUUCAUUUCAACCAUUUUUUGAGGUAGUGUUGAUUAUUUUUUAAGUAGUACCUUUUGUGUGAUGACACUAGCAGAUUUCGCAUGAAGAUUAAAGAAAUAAAAAAAAUAAAAAGCAGUUAUUAUCAUUUUUUUUUUGGUACUAGUACAGAGCUGUGAAGUAUUGAUUGUUUUAAUCUUACAAAGAAAAGUUGCUAAGUUCUCUAUAUGUAUAUGCAGUAUAUUCACAUUUGACAGGUUUUAUAGUUUUGAAAGUUUUUUGGUAAUUUGAUUUCUUUAUUUAGUUUGGCUUUGUUUCCUUAUCUCUAAGGUUAUGCUGAACAUCUUUAGGUCUCAAAAGAUAGUCAAAUCUGACAAGAGUUCACUGAAUUCGUCUACAAUUGAAAACCUCGCUACCAAAAGACAGAAGCUGGAAGCUGGUUUCUUACCGAAGGUGCACUAAUUUAGGUCUUCAAUUUAUUAGUAUUCUUCGAUGGAUUAUUGACAAAAGUUUAAUAUCUUGAACAAUGAGUUUGAGCUUAUAAAAUGGUGAAUUAGACUUCCUUUGAAACUGACAGAUAAUAUGCUGAGACAUCAAGUUGACUGAAACUAUGAUUUAGGCCUGUAAUUGGUAUAUAUUGGUUCAAAUGCCUGCUUAAGAUUUCAUGAAAGAUUCAAAAGGAGAACGCUAUGCCUAGUAAGAUUUUAAGAGUUGGGAUUUCAAGAACUUUAUUUACUCUACUAUAUUUCAGCAAAUUAGAUAUAUUUAAGAAACCUAAGACCACUUCUUGUUAUGGUUUUGGUUUGGCUUUAGUAUGAUUACAUACUUGUAAUACGUUGCUGUACUCGUACCAUUCUCUAGAGAUGCUGGCUUUGUUCACUUUCUUUGUAGACUCUUGCUUUUUAAGAUCUAUAGGUUCAUGCAAGUUCUCAUAUAGAUUGCUGGUUCUUUUACUGCUGUUUUACUUGAAAACAAUAACUUUUAUGUAGUUUGUUGUCAAGUCAGACCGAAGUUUUUAAAAGUGUUUCUGCAUUUGCAAAGCAGGUUUCUCAUCUAAAGCAUCAAACUCAUUUUCUACACAAAGUUCCAGUAAAGGUAAUAUGUACUAUUUAGAAAGUGGAUGUCACAUAAAUAUCGUAGUUAGGUGCAGAAUUUUUCUUUUCGUUAAAAGUAUAAAUUUUUAAACUACUUGAUGUUGCAGGUUGGGCUCCUUGAAAUAAACUCGGUGAAUUGUAGAUCUAAAGUUACUAUUCCUAGAGAACCUAAUCUGGAAACAGCACAUAGGGCUCAAAAACAUAGGUAAUAUUCACUUCCUCUCCUUUUUAUGUUGACAUUUGUUGUCAUACAUCUGUAAGGUUACCAGGCUUUGCCUCUUGUGCAAUUGUUUAUGUCGUAUUUUCUGGAUUUCAGGGCUAAGGCUAAGGUUGAUGCAGAGUCAGAUGAACAUGCAAAAUCAAAUGCAUGCAACUUUAAAGCACGCCCAUUGAACAGAAAAGUACAUACUUUCAAUAAAUAAGAUCCAAGUUUUAUUGAAUUUCAUAGGAACCAUGAACUUCAAAAGAAAUUGCCCUUAUAUUUAAGUUAGUAUAUGUUAUCUUUUUCAAUAACUUUUUCGGGCUUGGCAGAUUCUUGAAGCUCCUUUACCACAUCCCCCCAAAAAGAGCACGCCACAGCCUACUGAGUUUCAAGUAAUUCUUAACAUGUUUGAAUCUUCUUGUUCAUCUUGUGAUAUGAGCAUUUUCUUGGACGGAUUUAGUGAGAUAAGCUUGCUGCAUAUCUUAGGUUUAACACAAAUUGCCUUCACUGCUGUGCAGGAGUUUCAACUGCGAACAUCCGAGAGGGCUAGACAACACGCAUGUAAUAAUGUAGGUUAUGAAAAGUUUACUUUACAGAUUGUCAUAUUGUUAAUAUCAUGCACAGUUUUAGUAAUAAACAUUGCAAUUUCUUACUUGUGCCCAUGCUAAUAUAAUAGUAGGAAUAGAAUGUGCCUUGAUGGUGGAAAGCUAAUGCUCUCCUCAUUGCAGGUGGCAACCAUGCAUAACCACAAUGCUAUCUCCCAAAAUGAAACUAAAGACUCCAGAAGGUAAUGAUGUCUUGAGUUUUUCUCAUACCAUCGAAGUUAAACAUUGAAAGAUUCCUUUUUACCAAUUAAUACUCUCAUGUUGCUAGAGCAUUCUGCAUUGCUCAUGGUUUUUAGCUUGAUCUUACUUGGUAUAUUGGUCUAGGACUUUUAACUUCCUUUUGCUCAUGUGAUAUGCAAUCGCACAAUUGUUUUUUAACUUCUCCAUCUUUAUCAGGACAUUAAAUUUUCAUUUUAUCUUUUUCACAAAUGCAAGGGGGGAGCCUCAACUUUCAUAUAUUUUAAGUAGUUUUCAUCAUUACCAUUUCUUGUAAUCUUUGAUAUACUGACCUAUAAUUAAUGAAUUUACAUUCUGUUGAAUAUGAUUACUUUCUAACGUGGUUAUUCUCGUUGAACAGGCCAAACUCUGUUGAUGCCCUAAAGGAGGAGAAAUGUGAAGGAGUUAAAAAAAUUAAAGCAAACCCUCUCAAUAAGAAGGUGCUGUUAAUAUUAUGUUUGGACCUUAUAAUUGAGAUUGUUUUUGCACAGAUUCUCAGUGUGUGGCCACAUUAUUUCCUUGACACAGAUUUCUUCUGGUAAAGGAGAUCCCGGCGUCUUUCGAAAUAUCAGACAAGAUACUGCUGCCUCAAUGGUAGUUUACAAUGGUUCCUUUAUUCUCAGUUUGGAUAUGUUACUCAUUGCCUUGCAGGAAAAUUUUUCUCUGUUAACCCAUGCUUGUAUUUCCUGCCAGGAUAACAAUUUUCCAAUGAAUAAGGGGUCUUUGAAUGAGCCACCAAUUGACCUAUUUAGAAAGGUAAGAUGCGAUCUAGUUCUUCUGUACUUGUUGGUAAUGAGUCUAAAAUUGGAGCUCACCGGUGAUUUCUCAUUUUCUUACUUAAGUUUGGAUAUAUUUUUCACAAUCCUCUUCAUGACUUGGUAUGCAGCUCUCCUUGGCAUCUGAAGUCCAUAACAACUUAAAAUCUCAGUCAAAAAUGCCUUUGGUUUCUAAGGUUAGUGUAAACGAUAAUUUUAGCUUUGAAUCUUUUAAUGAAAGUUUGUAUCUUUUUUUUUUAAUUAAUAUACUAGUGCUUUCAUUGAUUGAAUAAGGAAUCAAAAGAGAAUGCACCACAAUCAUUCCUUCUUGAACAUGAGGUAUACUACUAUGUUCCAUAUAUCUAUUGAUAUAAUAUGUAAAACAAUUCCUAGUCAAUUACUGCAAAAACUUGCAUCCUAAAUAAAUCUAGUAUUAUGGUUCAGGUUUUGAUUUGUUGUUAGUCCUCUUACCACGAUAAUCGCAGUCUCAUAACAUCCAAUUUUGCAGAUGAAGGUGUUCAAAGAGAAAUCUCAGAAGUUUGGUAGGAAUCAGUAUCAGUGUGGGAGUGAAUCAAGUGAAAGUAGGAUUACCGAAGGUGGAUCACGGUUCAACUUCAACAGGUAUCACUAUUUCUGAAUUUAUUUGAUGCGAAAUGCCAACUGAUCCUUUUCUCCAAAUUCUGACUUUUCUUUUAGCUUUAGAACUUGACUAAGAAAAUUAUCAGGUACAACAAUUUUUAUAUUUAUACUGCAAUAAGCUGCUGAUUCCAUCUCCACAAUUUCCUGUUAAAAGUUAAAACUUCGACACAAUAUAUUUGUAUACAUUUCAUUGAGACAGAAUAUUUUCGAUGAUUCUUGUCACAGGAAUUUGGAUAUACGCUGAGAACAGAGCCGAAAAGCUUUCAUUUUUUGAAAUGAGACAAGUUUUUCGAAUGAAGCUAGUCUUAAAUCUACAAUCUAAUGCGAAAAGAAAAUUUUGUUUUAUAUCAAUAAUGUAAAGGAAAUAAAAAAAAUUUUGGAGAGCAGCAAUGUACAUAAGUAUAAAUUAUAGUUGGCAUGUUUCUUCUGUUUCUUGUAUAUACCAGGGAAAUUGUAUUUGUGGUUCAGGUUAAGCGAAAAGUGUUGAUUCAGUUUUUACCUUCUUGUUCUUUGUUGAAGGAUUUCAUUUUAUGUCUGAUGGUUCCUGUUUCAGCGAUCUGUUUCUACAAUUCUCACACGUGUCACGUUUCCAUGUGAGGUUACACAAUGUUGUUGGCACAAUAUCAUUUUGCAUCAAAACGUCGUAUAAGUUGGUGACCGUAAUAAUGGAGGAAAAUAAAAAGGAAAGUGAAAAGCGACUAGUAUGGUAGAGAUUGAGUAUUUUUUUUUUUUAAAUAUAUAAGGAGGUGGAGAUAAAUGAAUCUCAUCAUUUUAUGGUAAAAAAAAUGUAACUUUUCUCCUUAAAAUUGGAGUAGUUGGCAUAUGCUCCACAUAUACUAAUUGCAAAAGCAUUUUCAAAUUAUUAUUUAAUAAGUUCACACCAGACAUAAAACAAUCCAAGAAAGCUAUUUUACCAUUUUGAGGGGUUUUUAGUUCGGUUCCGUACGCAAAAAUAAACCAAACCAAAAUCGUUUUGGUUUGCUCUCGUUUUUCAUUCAAUUGAUUAAAUAGAUCGAUUUUUUUUUUUCUUAAUUUGAAAAGCAAACUGAGCUAUUAGUUCGGCUUAAUAUUUGGGGGGGGUCGUUGUUUUUUGGCCCAGUCCUAGCCAUGAGGGUAAACAUUUUUUAGGUAAAGCUUAUAUAAAGAUUAAAAAUAGGUAAAAAAAAAUUAGUUAGAUUAUGAGGGUUCACUUAAUCUGAUAGUCAUUUAUUUAAGAAUUUGCUUUCUCAAAUCUAGAUUUUUAAAUGAAAAUUUCAUGUGGAUUUGUUGCUGCACUGUAUGAUGUUAUAGUAUUUUGGUUCGAUUAACUAUUAUAUUAUACGGUGUAAUAAUAAAUUCAUAUGAAAUUUGCAUUUAAGCAUCGAGACCUAAGAAAUUAUACAUAGAGAGAGAGAGAGAGAGAGAAUUUCUAAUAAGGAUAAUAAGAUAUCCUUAUUUUAAUAAAAAAAAUUGCUACUAAAAUACAAAAAAUAAUAUAGUAACUAAUGUAUUGAAAUUUAGUUUUCUUGUAUUUUUGUGGUAUUCUCGUUUUAUUAAAAUGAGGAUGUUUUCAUUAAAUAAUAAUAAUAAUAUAGUCAUUUUUUUAGCACGAGUGCUUGUAUUAUUUAAGAUUUGGGAUUUCACAGCUGUGUCAAAUAUUUUUAUACUAUUGUAAAAUAAUUUUUGAUGCUAUUGUAAAAUCUCAAAUCCGUAUUAUAAAUAUGCAUUGUUAUAUACUACAAUGCGAGCGUGUGUAUUUCUUGUGUUUUAAUAAUAUAUCUUCUUACUAUAACGACUUAAGGGAUUGUGUGUGUAUAAUUUUCUUAUUGGCAAUUCGAAUAGCAAAACCGAUCAGUUUUUGAAUUAAAAAAAUAUAAAUGCCCAAAUCUCUGCCAUUGUCCAAAAGAAACCCAAGCUCCUAGCUAGCCUGCCACCAAUCGUCAUCGGUCAUCGCUCAACUCCAUCGCGCGCCAGUAGCAUCAAUAGCGCCGCCCCAUUUUUGCAUAUUAAUAACACCUGUGGUUGAAUAAAUUUUCCAAACCAUGGAUUCGAACACAACAAGCUUGACUUGGACGACCAAAAUAGCAAUGUAGUUGCCUUCUUUAAAGUUUUGGCGGAAAAACAGAUGACAUGUCGUAUAUUACAAAAUAACCAGAUGACAUUUUGUAAAAAAAAAUGCAUGCGCCGGCGGCAUCCUGUACGACAUGUCGUAUCUGUAUAAAAAAAUUUUAACUUGUUUGGAAAUCAAAAUUUCAAUUGAAUAUGCUAGAAGACAAUAUAAUAUUGGGAAAAUUUCAAAUCAUUUCAUAUAAGUCAAGAAAUUAAAUAUAUAUUUACACACGUUAAUCAGUAGCAUAUGUGGUGGAACCACAAAUACUACACACAGGUAGGCGGCUGAAUAAAUUAAUAGCAAGUGAGUUUACAUAUGUUUAUUUGUUGCGUUUGUUAAGAUCUGAGUACUUAAAAUAUUACUACGAAGCACACAAUUCUAAUAUUUGAAAUUAGCCCUUUCAUCAGUGAGAUAAAUGAAGAGAUGAUGGACAAAUUGAAAUUUGUAAAGCUAACAUAUUCUGUCCAUAAAUUCAUGGUAACAUAAUUCACCUCACUAAAAACUUAAACGUAAUAUCCGAAUACGAGUUAGUAAUGCUAGAGAACUUGGCCUGUAACCCACAAGCAUUCAUAAGCAACCAUUCAACAAAAGAUUUUUAGUACUUCAAACUAAAUUCCUAAGCUAGUCAGUCCAGAAUGUACAAAAAUUAGUGAUAAGCACAAUUAUACAUCUUCUCUCUUCAAGGAACAACAUCAGAGACUAAUUUUAUCCUUCAAGUUCCUGGCUGUUAAUUCAAAACACAAAAGGAGACUAGCAAUUUAAAGGGUGUUCUUAGAUAUAACUUCUCCAAACCUAACAAACCACCGAGCAUCAGACGAAUUGUCGUCGUGCUCAACACGCUGCUGCCGUUCUCUGUUGACCACAAAUUUGGUGUAAUAGUCGAUUGGUUUUGGAGCGGCCAGAGAAAGUUUUGCGGGUGGAGCUGGAAGAAGGGAAACCAGAACUCUGGCUACUUCCUGCAUGGUUGGUCUUUCUGAAGGGUAGCGCUUUGUGCAGAGCAGAGCAAGCUGGAAGGUCUUUCUCACAGCGCUUAAAUCCACGCAUGUCACUGAAACCUCUGGGUCAACAGCCUCCAUCACUGUGUUGUCAUCAGCCUUGGACAUUAUCUGAAAACACAAAAUACACAUGCAGACCGUUCAACUCAAGAGUUAAGUUGCUUAAUAGCAUACUUAAUGUAAAACAAAUGCUUAAAUUUAGUGACAGUUUAAUGUCCCACACAGCAACCCAGGAUUUUCCACUUUGACAACAUAUUUUAACUCACAGGAUCAAUGAAAAUUAGACCUUAUAAUUCAGGGCAUUAGAUGCAUACCAGUUGAUGCAAGUUAGACUCGUUAUCCACAGCCUUCUUCCCAGUCAGAAUUUCAAGAAGUACAAUACCAAAGCUAUAAACAUCUGAUUUUUCAUUGAGACGAGAGGUAUGGGCAUACUCAGGAUCAAUGUAACCAAUUGUUCCUAGAACAAAAGUUGAGGCAUGAGGCAUUGCAGUCGGUAUGCAUCUUGCAAUCCCAAAGUCAGAGAGAUGAGCGUCAAAAUUCUCAUCUAUCAGGAUAUUUGAUGAUUUUACAUCCCUGUGAAUGAUCCGGGGGUUGCAAUCAUGAUGAAGAUAAGCAAGUCCUUGUGCAGCUCCAACUGCAAUCUUCAGGCGAGUUUCCCAGUCAAGUUUUACUUUCUUGGAUGGUCCUGUAAUGCAACACUUGUCUUCUUCAGAAACAAAAAAAAAUAUAUAUAUAUAUAUAAAUACACAUAUAUAGUAAGAUAAAUAAUUCCCCAAGUAAAUAUUCAAUAUAGGAAAAAUGAGCAUAUCAUCAACUUUCAUCUAGUAAUAACAACUAUAUGGUACAGGCAAGAUAACUGACCAUGAAGGAGAUCCCACAGAGAACCAUUCACCAUGUAGUCAUAGAACAGGAGAUUUCCAUAUGGAGACAAAGCAUAACCAUGCAAGCUCACAAUAUUUCUGUGUCUAAUGCUGCCAAUGGUUUCAAGUUCAGUCUCAAACUCUCUCAAGUUGUGAGGAUACUGAUUGUAAAGUUUCUUAACUGCUAUUGGUCGGGAAUUCUUCAGUGCACAUUUGUAAACAGUACUAGAUGCACCAUAGCCAACGAUAUACUUCUCACUCAAAUUCUCAGUGCUUCUCAUUAUAUCAUCAAAGGUGUGAAUAGCCAUAUCCAUGUGCAGAAUCACAAGCUUGGGUGGUCCUGGGUAGAAAGGAAACCAACCUUGAAGAUUUGAAGAUACAAAUGUUGCAAGUAAAUACUAAAGCAAAGACAUACCUAGCAUAGAUUUUCUGGAACCAGUAAUUAAUUGCUGCCUUUGUUGGUUGGAUUUAUACACAGCAAUUGCAGCCAUCACUAACAAUGUAAUGAAGCCUAACACCAUACAAACAACAGCAGUUCGGGAGAACAUAACUGGAAAACAAGAUAGCUCAUUGGGUAAGCAGAGAGUUCUAAAUUUGAUCCUGCCAAUGAUCGUAUACACAAAACAUGGAUCUAUCAUAAAAUAACAAAAGAUUACAGAAAGAUUAAGUUAAUACCUCUGGCCUUUGUCACCGAAGGACCACAUAUUGAUCCUAUCCAAUUUCCACACAGUAGUGGAUUUCCAAUGAAGCUGGUGCAAAUAUGAAUAAUCAAUACAAAAAUCAAAAUUCCAAAAGCUAUGAACUAAUGUUUUUGCAUACCUAUUUGAUGAAAAUCGUGAGAAGUUUCUGAUUGGGGGUAUAAUCCCUGAUAAGUUGUUGUACGACACAUUCCUGAAAUUCAUUAAAUUUAGUAGUUUGCAAGACUUCAUAACAAACAAGAAUUUCUUUCAUAGAAAGGGUAAUGUCUUACAAAUUAGAUAGACUGAAACAAUUGCUAAGCUGAUCUGGGAUCCCACCUUGCAAAUUGUUGUUGUUCAAAAUCCUGACAUAAAUUUUCAUCUCACAUUUUAUAUCUGCUUGAUAAAUAAAUACACAACAAAAGUACUGCUUCAACCACAUGGGAAAAAGACCAUGAACUUACAGAGAAAUGAUAUUUUGCAGUUGACCCAGUUCUGCAGGAAUGCUACCAGACAGUUGGUUGAAUGACAUGUCACUAAAAAACAGAAGAGAAGAAAGAUUAAAAAAACAGAGGUUACUCCAUUCCAUACAGCUGUAGAUUUAUCAAAGUAAAUUAGCUCACAUUGUUUGUAUGCUUCUAAGGUUUCCGAAUUUUGCAGGCAACAGCCCAUUCAGAUGAUUCCUGCUCAAAUUUCUGGGCAAGUGGAAACUAUAUUAACUGAUGCACUAAUGUAAAUCAAACAGAAUGAACCCACAUUGAACCAUGCUUGGGUUGAAGGAUUACAAAGUGAGAAGGUGCUCCAGAUCACCAAUUGAAGCAGGAACAGAUCCAGAAAAAUUAUUAACUGAGAGAUCCCUGAAUCAUAGAACAAACAUAAGCACCUAAAACUGGAAAAUAACAAUAGACAAAACACAUCAUGGCAUGAAACUCACAGCGUGUCAAGAUUAAUAAUUCGUCCAAGCUCAGUGGGUACCUUGCCUUUGAAGUUGUUCCUUGAAAGGUUUCUGAACAUCAACUAUAUUAGUAUAGGAAAACAGGCAUCCAUGCAAUAGAUAUUGUAACUUAAAAGAAUUCUCUAAACUGAAUGAUCAAAACGUACAAGUAAGUCAGACUCCCCAGAUUCCGGAAACUAGAUGGGAUAGCCCCGCUUAAGCGAUUACCAUGCACAUUGCUGUGAAAUAAAAUCAAGAAUCACAAUCAAAUUAACUGAAAUGAGACGCAACAUUAUUACAAACACACACAAGGGAUUCAGUUGUAUUCAGAAAAUUGGUAUCUUACAACUGAUUCAAUGCUGUACAGGAACUGAUAUUAUGCGGAAUGGGUCCUUCCAGAUUAUUAUCUGCAAGAUUCCUGAAUCAUAAAGGACAAACUGAUAAGUAACAUGAAAUGAAAAAUAAUACUACACAGACAUAACAGCAGAGACUCACAAUUCAAACAACUGCUCUAGCUUCCCAAGUUCUGCAGGAAUUGUUCCAACAAGUUGAUUAUUUUGUAAUUGCCUACGUGAAAGUAAUUAUCUUAUCAACAGCAUGAACCGUGCAUAUGUAUACUAAGUUUUGGGAAAUGGAAAAUAGCUCACAAGUAGCUCAGUUUAGACAUAUUGCCAAGCUCUGGGGGAAUUGGUCCAGUCAGCUUAUUGCCAUGGAGAUAUCUGGCACAGAAGAAAAUUUAAAAAACAAAAAAGAAUCAAGACAUAAAACAUAUUAAAGAACAAUAAUAUUAUCGUUUGAUGUAAUCAAACUAACAGUUUUCCAGUGUAUGACAAAUUGCCAAGUAUGGGAGGGAUUGGUCCAACAAGCUCAUUCUCACUUAAAUCCCUGAAAAGUAAAAGAAACAUAAACACAAAAGUCAAGACACGUGCUAUAAAUGUAUCUAAAGUCCAUAGAGUCUGGGCGACAAAGAACGCAUGUACUUACAACACGGCUAGAGCCUGCAUAAGGCCAAUGACCUCUGGAAUUUUACCCGUUAGCUUAUUUCCUUGAAGUGAUCUACAAAACAUCAGGUGUCAAUUACAAAAAACAUAUGAUAAUUGUAAAAGUUUCAUAUGUAAAGCUCUAUGUUUAAUAAGAAAAAUAAAUUGAAGUGGAAAAGCUCACAGUGUUGCCACUUGAAGGAAUCCAAUAUUGUAUGGUAUCUCUCCAGUGAUCUGAUUGUAAGAUAUGUCCCUGAAGUUCCCCACGAUCAGAAAGUUGAUUAACACAGAAAAAUGUAAGUACAAAAUUCAGUGCAGUGUACAGUAGUUGACAUACAAUAUUUCAAAGCUUGUACAGUUGCCAAUGCUGUCCGGGAUUGUUCCAGUUAGAUUAUUGCCUCGUACAUCACUAAAAUCAAUAAAAACAACUAAUAUCAUAAGUAAUUAUAUCUGUUGAAUGGAAAAACCCAAUUUUUAUAUACAUUGAAUGGAAAAAAGCAAUUUUUGCACCCCAAAAAAAAAAAAACUGACUACUCACAAAUACCACAAGCCGGUUAAUUGACACAUGUCAGGAGACAGCAUUCCAGUCAAUGCAUUUCCCCUUAGCCCACUGUAAACACAACCCCAAACACAAAAUGUGAAAUCCUAUGCUUCAAGAAAAUGUGUAAACCUAAAUGUCAGUAGGCAAAAACUUAAAAAUGUAUGAACUCUCAAUGGCUCCGUUGAAACUUCCAUAUAACUAUAGUAAAUUGUAACAGGAGGGAACACAAUGUUCAAAUGCCUAACAGACUACUAUAUCUUUAUAACUUACAGGUAUUGCAGCACUUCAUUCCAGUAUAUUAGCCUUGGAAUCUCACCAGUGAGCUGGUUUCGAGCAAGAUCACUACAAAUAUAAACAUUCAAAUGCAAUUGAAAUUAUUAAAAACGAUAAAUAUCUCAAAAGAAGUAACAUCAUAUCUGAUAUCACGACUAAAUUGGUAAAUCAGGCAUCUCAUCAGUUAAGUGGAAACUCACAGAGUCUUCAGAUUAGGAAUCUGAGUUAAGGUGGAUGGAAUUGGACCGGUAAGCUGAUUGUUUUUCAAAUUCCUGCAUUGCGUUAAUGGAUAUGCACUCAUUAAUUUACCAUGUAACUCCAACAUGUACAUAUUGAAACAAGUCAAAUGAUCAGAGACAUUAUAUAACAAAAAUAGCGCUUACAAGAACUCAAGUUGCUUCAGCUUUGAUAUAGAAAAGGGAAUGUCUCCAUAUAGACUAUUGUCAGACAAUUCUCUGCAUUAUGCAAAAGGAGAUCCCAUUAUGAAUCAAAAUUCUCAUAAACACUAAUAUGCACAUUAACAAGAAGGAAAAAUAGAUUUAAAAAAUUUUACAUAUGGACAAGAGAGCCACAGUUUCCAAUUUCAUCUGGGAUCUGGCCAGUUAACUUAUUCCCCUGAAAAUCUCUGCCAACAUCGCAAAAAUUAAAAAAAAAAAAAAUCAAUUACGACUACAUUGGGAACAUAAUAAAAGGGUUUGGUAAGAAAAUAAAAGGGCGCAUACAUGGACUGCAAAUUUCUUAAAUCUCCAAUGGAUGGCGAAAUCUCUCCACCCAGAUUCAAGCUUGACAGGUUCCUACAAGUAACCAGUACCCCAUUCAUUGCAUUGCACUUCAUUGCAUUUUAUAAAAAAAAAAAAAGUAACUUAAAACAGAACAAAACAUACAAAGAAACAACAGAGAGGCUGCUGUUAUCGCAAAAGACACCACGCCAUGAACAGAAAUCAGAGUUGUGCACAUCGUCCCAGUCCAGCAACACAUUCGCCAGGUUACUGAAUGACGCUUUAAUCGCCAUCAACGCUUUCCCUACAACAACCCCAGGAUUAUUUUAAUAUUCUCCAAACACCUAAAUAUCUCCUUUUAUCUUAUUAACACAAGAAGCACUCAAAACAACAAAAACGAACUUCAGUUCCUUUUAACAAAAGACGCUUCAUGCAUUUGAAUAAUGCUAAAAACAAACAAAACCUUCAUCAUCAUUGAGUGGAGCGGCGGAUGAACAAAGAAGCAAAAACACCGCCAUUAUGAAACUAAAAGAAAGCUUUCUCUUCUCUCUUUGUAAGAGAACUCCCAUUUUCAUUUUUUUCCCCCUAAAGAAAGCUCAAAACAUGGAGAGACCUUUUUUUUUUUUUGCACGAGUUAUGAGUUACGUUCAAGUAGAAAAAUAACUCUUCUUCUUAAGUUUGGUUUGCUGCUAGCCUGCUACUUGUUUCAUUGAGAGGGGGAAGAGAGAGAGAGAGAAAGAAGAGAGGAGGGAGAGUAAAGGAACAGGCGUUUAGCGUGAGGUGCAAGGUAGACUGAGCAAUAGCUGUUAUGAAGAGAGAGGGAGUGACAGUAACUGGGAGAGAGAGAGAAGCAACUAAGCAAGAGACAACUGACACGGGAGGAGAUAUUACUCUAAACGGCGGUGAAGCGACGUUAGUAGCUGACCUUAUUUUUUUAGGCUUUUUGGGGGGAGUCUUUUAGGCCUUUUUGACUGAUUGAUUGAAUCAUUCAUUUUCAUUUUUUAAAGGUUUUGGGCUCAGCGGCCGUCAUUCCGAUCAUGCAUAUGUAUGUAGUACCGUGUCCCAAUGUUGUUUCAUUUUCGGACAGCUCUCGUUAGGCGUCUUUGUGAACCGAAGAGUUCUCCACGACGCGCGCCAAUUCGAUGCACGUGUCUCGUGGAAAUACCAGAACGGUUCGGCACUGUCGAAAAUGGACAAUCCAUUUUUUCUAAUAAAAUGAGUGCCAUUUUAUUAAUAAUAUUAUUAUAUUUACGUAAUUGAAAUAUUUAAUUUAUAUUUUAAUAGAUGUAAUAAAUAAUGUACUAUUAUUUGAUUAGUUUGAAUAAUAGAUAAUUAUUAAGUUUUAUUAUUUUUAAUUAAAUAAUAAUAUUUAUUAAUAGCGCAAUUAUUAUAAUACUAAUUAGAUAUCUCAACUGAGAGUUGUGUUUAAUUAACGUUGCAGAUGAGACAUUAGUUUUUUUUAUGAAGAUUAUGAUAUUUUAUAACAUUUAUACUAAAAGAAUUUUAAAUUUCUAUAAUUUAAGACUUUAUUUAGUAUUUUUACAUACUAAUAAAUAUUAUUUUCUAAGUAUAUAAUUUAAAUUAAUUACAAAAAAAAUUAAUGCAGUAUAGUGCAAUAUCAACAUAAUAUAAUAAAAAAUUAAUAUCAUACAAUAUAAUACUAAAUAUUAUAUAACUUUAUUAUAAUAUAGUGUUAAUACAAUAUAAUAUAACGUGUUAAAAGCAUCUUAAGGCAACUGGGUGGUCAAUAUUUGAGUUAAUUUUUAUGUGUAUUUGGAAUGAUAUACAAUGCUAUGUUGAAUCAAUACAAACCGAAUUCAAUUAAUGACGGCACGACAAUUCCCUCUUUAUUUCAUCGAGGGAGGGUGUGAGUUUGGUUGCACGCGAUGGACGGGCGAGUGGAGUGAGAGAGUUGUCCUUCGAUUGUGAAUUUGUGAUCGGGGAACAACAACGGUCUGUUUGGUUGAUCCGGUGGUUGUCAAAAGACCAAAAAGCUAAUUCCACGCUACUUUUUUUGCUAUGGGCAAAUCUUUUCUGAGAACUUUUUUUUUUUUUUCUUUAAUUUUUUGUCUCCAAUAACUUAUGGUUUUUGUGAAGCUCUUAAUAUCUGUUCUAUUAUUGACAAAGGAACAACUGAAAGUGCAAGGACCAAACUUUUCUCACACGAAAGACCAAAACUCGGCAACCAUCCGGUUAGAGUUUUAAUGGAGAUGGACAAUGCAUUAGGUUUCCGCAAUAAAUCGUUACAUUAAAAUUUUUCAAAAAGCAAAAAAGUAAAAAGUUUUAUAGCAUUUAAUCAAAGGUUUUAGUGGAAUAAUUUGUAAGUAAUAUUUGUAUAAAUUCAAGUAAUUUUCUUUAAUUGAUGAUCGAAGUUUAAAUAUUCAGAAAUAUGGGACUACAUCAUUAACUUAGGAAAUUAGCUCGUUUAAAAAAAAAUUAUUACCUUAGUAUUUUUACUUCAUGAAAACACUCUAGUUUUCGAUAAUUUUUGGAUAUAAAGUAAAGGGGCCGAGAUCAAUCAAAAGAUAAAAUAAAUAAAUUGUCUUUAAAAAAAAAAUUUAAAUUGAAGGGUCCCCUCAGCAUUAAGUUUGGUCAAUAAUUUCUCGCACUAAUUUUCAAUAAUUAAAUACACCACAACAAUAAUACAAACUCUAAGAAGCCUCUAAAAUUAGCUAAGGCACGUCACGUGAUACAUGCUAGCACACGACAAACAUCUUAAAUAGCACUGCAUUUCUAAAUAAUAAAAUAAUUAUUACGAUAUAAUAAUAAUAAUAAUUAAUAAAUAGAAAGUGUUUGGAAGAGCAGACCAGAAAUCAGAAGCAGCAAUUCUGCUUCUGCUUCUGCUUCCGCUGCAACAAUCGUAUAAAGCUGUCCGUGCAUGCUCUGCUUCUAUUUUUGUUCCAUUUACUUGUUUUUUUCUUUACCAUUUUUAAUAAUUAUAAUUAAUAAAACUUGAGCUUCCUUUAAAUUUUUAUAUUGAUAAUUAUUUACGGGUUUAUUGAAUGAAUUACGAUAGCGAGUGAUCGGGAUUGGGACCCACUGAACGCUUUUUUGGUUCAAAUAUCGAGAUAAAUCCCCAGCCGUCAGAUUUCUGAUCUUGGAUUUUGUCGGUUCCCAAAGACAAAACAACAGGCAAUUGUCCGUUGAGUUGGAUAAGAUAACUUCUGACGAACGUGUGUGUAUUUACUCAAAUACCCUCACCUUUUGUGGUGGGAUAAAUUGGGCCGGCGACCCUAAAAAAUUAUCAGACAGAUUUUUUUUUAUUUUUUUUUAUUUUAUUUUUUUAAAGUAUAUUAUACACAGAUAUUACUGACAUUACAUCAAACAUUACAAUUAAUAUUUACAAUCAUACUAUAUAACUGGGACCACCAUUAUACAUUGACACACUAAAAUAUAUGUCCAGAUAUUUUAAACCCUCUCUAAUAUUCAAGGGGUAUCUGCUCCACUCACAUUUCGUAAAGGAAAGACUGUCUCCAUUUAAUUAAUUAAUAAUUAAGGAAGAACUAAAACUAACCUCCAUAAUACUCUUAUGAAAGCUCGAACCCUUGCACUCAACAUUGAUUCAAGAAUCAAUCUUUCCACGCAGUAAAUGUAAAGGCGGCAAAUCCUAAAUGGAUCCUUGGGCUGAUACUAACCCGACCGGAUCUUUUGAUUCACAUAUGGAUUCUUUAAACUGCUUCACGUUCAUCUUAAUUUUGUACCACGUCUUACAUUUAAUUGUUUAUUGCUCUUUAUGAGGAAGAGGUGAUGGUAAAUUCAGCUUUGUGGCACUAGACGUUUAAUAGGUCAAGUUGCAUUUUCUUUUUUUAAGUUUAUUUAGAUUUUAUUUAAAAGAAUUUCAUUAAUUAUUUUAUAAAUAUUAAUUACUGUAAUUAAAUUAAUUUUAUUUUAUCAACACAUGAAAAAAUUAUUAUAUACUAUUAAUUUUUAUUUAUUACUGCUGUACCGUACAUCCGCCUUGGCCGUACAGCAGAUUUUUUUUAUAGUAAUCAUAACGCAAGAGUAUCUCUAAAAAAAUUUUUAAAUAAAAUUUUAUUAUUUAUUUAAAAAAUCACAUCAGUAUUUGAAACUUCAAAAGACGUUCCAAUUGAAAUUUGUUCAAAUAAGAAAUUAUUCUUUCUCUUCAAUUAAUGCAGUUUUCAUUCUUCUUAAAAAUUAUUUAUUUGUAUAAAAUAAUAUUAACUUAUUUUUAUUUGAAGAAUUUUUUAAAGAAUAAUAUAUUUUUUCACUCAUCUUUUUAUUAAAUAUAUAAGUAAAUAGAUAUUUAUAGAGUAAAAUUAGUAGAACAUUUUGAAUAUAUUUUAAGUUACAACAUCUCAUUAAAUCUCAAUAAAAUUAAAUCUAUACGUAACAUAUAUAAAAAAAAAAACUUCUUUAUCAUGAAAUCCCUAUGACAAAAAGGGGAAAUUAUUUCACCACUAGAAUCUAGGGAUCGUACAAAAAUUUUGAGAAUUUUUUUAGAUAAUGACUUCUUAAUUAAUAGAGAUGAAGACAUCUUUCAAAUAAUAAUAACAAAAAAUAAAAAUAAAAAUUUCCAUAACACAAGCAAAACAGUUGAGAUGUUAAAUAGAAGGGAUCCCAGAUGUAAAACGGUUCGUUGGAGAGAAUAAACGAAAACGAUUGUAAGUAGAAACCAAACCACCGUGAGUUUUGUUUUUCACUAAUAAUUUUUCUACGAUGAACGAAAAAUUAAAUUUUGACUAAAUCAAGCUCCUAAAACAAAUCCCUUUUAAAAAAACACAUUACGAAAAUUAAUUAAAUAAAUAAAUAAAACACUGAUGAUGAUAGCACGUUCCCAAAACGAAACCCACAAUAAAAUCCUUUCGGUGAUUUAGGCAGCCGAGGCAGGAACCAGACGACCAUCGCAUCAAGAACCCAUAACCCACGUGGCAAGAUCUGACGGGGCCUAUUAGUACUGGUAGCUACUACUAGGCCUCAAGACAGUGACAGGCAGACUCGUUUGGGACAGCAUUGUCCAACAAUAAAGCAAUAGGCAGCCGGCUGUUUAUCCGCCGGUUGACGCCGUCAGCAUUACUACGGCGUGAUCCUAUACGGGUCCCAUGCCCCUCUAGGACCCAACGGUGGGUCCCACCUAAGAAGACAACGCAUUUAGUGUUGGGUUUUUCAAAAAGUUGGGAUUGAUGCGAUGAGAUUUUGCUUUUUAGAGAGAGAGAGGGAGAGAGUACUGGAAAUAGUAUUAGUAGUGCUUUUUGAUUUGAAAUAUUAAAAAAAAAAAAAAGGACAGAUAUAAUUUUGUAAUAUUUUAUAAUUGUAUUAUAAAUUAAAUGGGUCUGGACGCUGGUUGGUUUGUAAUGAUUGAGUGGGUCAUGGUCUCAUUUUUUUUUUUAAUUUCUAAAACGUUUGCCACGUGGUGUAUACGGUUUGUGUUUGAGUGUCUUCAGUCUUCUUAGUUAUUUUCAGCUCAAUGCCACAAACUCCCCGGGGAGAUGCCAUGCUGGCAAUUAGAGCCGGCAGAAUAGAUUAUCGAGUCGUAUUUGUAUCGUAUCAGUUUUAUAUCGUGUCAAAUUUAGGUCGAUUUAAAUCCGACUCAUUUAAUAAUUGUGUCAGAAUAUUGAGACCUAAAUUCGACACAAAAAAAUAAUUGAGUUAUCCAAUAACCCGCUUAAUAUCUAUAUAUUGAACAAAAAUUACAUCAAAUAUUUACACACUAUCAUACAUACAUAUAUAUAUACAUACAUACAUAAUUUAUCGACAUUACAAAUAUACAUAUCUACCAAUAUAUUACACAUUUAUAAUUUUGAAGUUUUAAUUAUAUAUAUAUGAUAUUAUGUAUCAAUAUUAUAAAAUAUACAUGUCUAUCAAUUUUUACACAUUUACACUAUUGAAGCUCUAAAUAUAUUUAAAAUUUUAUAAAUAAAACACCAGCUGUGUUUAUAUUCACCUUUUAAAGAAUAAAAAAAAGAAAAUCAUUUCUAAUAUUUGAGUUUUAAUGAUUAAAAUAUGUAAAUUAUUUUAAAAUAAAAAUAUAAUCGGGUCAUUGAUCGGGUAAAUAUGUCAAGAAUUUUAACCUUAACCCGAUACGAAAAAAAAUCGUGUUGACCCAAAUCUGAUCCAUUUAAUAAUCGUGUUAAAUUUGACGACCCAUACCCAUUUAUUUAUGUCGUGUUCGUGUCGGAUAAUCAGGUCGUGUUAAAUUUUACCAGCUGGCAAUAGUAUUGCUUAAUGGUGCCUAAAUUAUCAAAAAUGGUACAAACUAAAAUUGCGAAAUAUGGUAUAGCUAGGAAAUUUUAAAAAAUAAAAGUGAAAAUCUUAAUGCCCCGUGAACGAGAAUAUAAAAUAUUAAAUUGCCAACCGGCUUUAUAUUUUUGUGUCUGUACAUUCGGGUACUAAUUAUGCGUACCCAAAAUAAUCUCGAAAAAUAUUUUAAAAAAUGCUUAUGAAGUAGAAUUUGCGAGUACUUAGAACAAUAUUAAAAUCAACAACCACUCCUUGUACUGUAUAAAAUAUUAAGAAAUUAUAUCAGGAUUUUAUAAUGUAAGGGGUCAACUAAACUAGUCAAAUACACAUGGUCAAAGAGUCAACAGAAAGAACAGAGACUUGAUACGCGAGCACUGUAGGCUGGACAGAGAACAUGAAUGGAAAAGGGAACAGAAAUCGCGAGACCCAAGAGAAUUAAAGAGCAAUUGAUUAUACACAUCAUAGGACCCGUGAUGGCUAUCCUUUUAUUUUUCUUUUCACUUACAAAUAAAUUGGUUGGGCUUUAUGUGCGACAGACAAAUACUAUGCAUGAUACAUUGAUAUCCACGUCCUUAGUAUUACACGUAUGAUGAGUAAAGAAAAUUCCGGCUUAUAUCCUCACAAGCCCAGGCAUUGUAUCCUUGAAAACACUGUUUAUAUUCCUCUUUACUGUUACUAAACCCAAAUUGUAAUUCUCAAAAAUCUGGACUGGCGAGUCCCGACCUCAAUGAAUUUGAUCCAAAGUUCAUUACAAAAAGCAACUGCCAAAUUUUCUUGCAUAAGAUACUCCAAAGGCAAGAAAAGAGCGGCAAUUUGUUGAAGUAAAAAAAAAAAAAAAAACCAUCAAUCUUGAAGUAAUACUUUGGACAACUUACAAUGGUUGAACCAUUUCCGAAAGUUGAUAGUGAGAAAGGGAACCUACACUCAAGGAGCUUGAGAUGGAGAGUAUUAAUACAAUUCUCUCAGAUUCUAUGAAGCUAUAAAGCCUAAUGGCGUGCCAUGAGUAAGGGAGAAUGGUCGCAGUUAUAUAAACACAAUACAAAAUCCAAACUGAUUCAUCAUGGAAGAUAAUUCAUCCAACGGUUUUAUCCAUUGUAAACUGCAGACGCUAUCAUCAGAAAAAAGAGUUACAAAAAGUGCUAUUAAACAGUUAUUCAAAUAAGAUGAUAACAUAUCAAACAAAAAUUUAGGGUUACAAGAAAACAAACUCCUCACUGCAUCUACUACUCAGGAGUCAGGAUGAUAGAUUAGCAUCAUGCCAUCCCUUGGUGCAUGGUGGAAUGCCCAUGAAUUCAUCAAAUUCCUUCACAUGAAUGUCACAACACUUCCACUGCAAAAAUCAUAUAUCACACACAGAGGUUGGCAUCAAUUCCAAAAGCAAUAAAGAAGAGAUUAGAUAAAAUGAAUGGCAAAACAACACAUUUAGACAAGAAUCGCACCCCUCUCAUCCGAUCAUGAAAAACAGCAGGUCCAGGAUGAUAACUGCAUGCAGUCUCAUGAUUAUCCUUUUCUUUGAAAGUUUUGCCACAUCCCUUAUUUUUGCAGAUUUGAGGCUCGUUAAUACCAAUUUUCUUCUUCACUGGAACAGGAGGCACCUCAGCAGCUACAUUACUUCCAGCAGGUACAGCUGGGGCAUAAUUGGUCUGUUCUUUGGCUUGUGAACCUAUGUAGAACAUGCAAGAAUUCAGUUCAAAGACCAAUGAAGAUGUUAAGGGGAAAAAGGACACACUUCAAACAACAAAGUGCUUCAGCAAGAUAGGAACAAAAGAUAGACACAGAGAAACAAUCUAGCAAAGACAAACCUGCUGGCAUCUCCUAGAACAAUACAAAGAGAACUAGAACAUUCCAAAUGCACUGUUACAAAGAUGAACCUCAGAAAAGUAAAAGCCCCAUGACAAAGCAAAACCUAGUACACAAUACAACUAACCUUUCCCAUUUCUCAAGCACUAGUAAUAUAAAAGGCACAUGAUCCACUAUGGUCUUUGUAUUUACAAAAACCAGAAGAGACGUGGAGGUAGAGAAAUAGCUCUAUUUAGCUUUUUGCUUAACCGUAUACUAUGAUAAACAAAUUGGAAUUAUUCCACAUUCAUUGAAUCCAAAAAGGAAGACAUGAACAAUGCAGAGUCUCUAUAUACAUAAAGCAUAAAAAUUUGGGUACCGUGAUCAGAGCAAAAGAAACCCUGUCGACAUCUUGAGCAAAGUUCUUUCGAUGGAGUGCUGGACCCAAGAGUUGUUGAAGGAGCAGGAGCUGGAGCUGGAGUUUUUGAAGUAGCGACCGGCUUAGUUAACACUGGUUUCUCAGUUGUGUGUUUACCUGUCUUACAUCUUCAUUUAUGGAACAAAAUUUUGAGCAACUAAUGUAAACAGAAACUUUGCAAAAAAUUACUGACUAGAAGUUACUGGUCGUAAUCCAAGUAGACUUACAUCCAGACCACAUGGAAACAAUCAUGGAAGUGCAAUAAAAUUUACAUCCAUAUUUUGCAUAGUUGGCCAAGCUUACCAAGGCCAACAUGUUUUAAACUGUUUUAAGAGCAAUGUACUCAAUUUAGAAAAAUACUGACAGAUCAUUGCUUCUAAAUUAACAGAAAAAUGAUUUGGAAGCAGCUUCAGCUGAAAGGAUGCAAAAUUAAGAGUUAAGAGAAAAUAUAAACACACAAUCACAUCCAACUUAGCAACUUCAGAAAAAAUCCCAAAUUGUAUUUUCAUUGUGAACAACAACAUAAGCAAGAAGCAGAUUGCCUAAAAUCUGAUACACCUGAAAUAUCAAUCCAACAGUAUUAAAUUUUUUAGAAAUGAAAUUUAACCAGUAAGGCAUUUAUAUUUCAUUCAGAGAUGAGCAAAAUCUGAACAGGCAAUGUGAUAAGUGAACAUGUUCAACAACAAAAUUCUGGGUCAUGUACUUCAGCAAUCAAUGCUUAGCUGAAUAUGUAAGUGAUAAAAUUCAUAACUAACAUGUAGUUUUCAAGUACACUGCUAUCAUAGGCACCAUGCGAGGUGAUCAUCACCAGGAGUGGACUGCUCAAAUGCCUGAAUUCUAUGGGUUAUAUAGUCCACUGCUAGCAUAGCCAAGAAAAGUAUCAAUAAUAAAGGAACAAGUUCCACAAGGAAACAUGAUAGGCAGUUACCCUGGAAUUUCCAAAAAUAAGCUGAAAUCAUGACUCCUCCUCUUGCAACAACUCCACUCCUUCAUUCCAUCAUGAAAUAUGGGCUGAAAUUACCAUUGAAAAUUAACAUGCUCAGAAAGUUUAUAAAGAAAAAAAUGAAAAUAGAAUUAUUCUUUUCAAAAGAAACAAAGUCUGACUUACUCCCUGAUCAUUUAUAAUCAAAUCCGAUAAGGUAAAACCGAAGCCCAACGAUGCAAAACAAAAACACAAUCAGUACAACAAACAAAAAUAUAAUCAUAUUUCACAAAUUAUAAAAAGAUUGAAGAAAGCAACACACCACACACCAAAUUGAUUUCACACGAUCAGCAACUUAGUUGUGCUAAACGAAUUUUCAGAAUUCUACUAAAUAAUUAGUCUUCACUUGAAGAGUAUUUUUGUAACUGAAUCAUUUCUCAACACUGAAAGCUUUGGCAAACACCUACUUUUAUAGCUGAGAGUUAGUUGAUGCAAUUCAAAUUAGCAACAGCUGUGGAUUAAAUCCAAAAAAAAAAAAAAACAUAAAUAUAUCUAAACUGGAGGUUUAAGUUCUGUACAUACAUUGUUUUUAUUGAUCACAGCAUCAAUGUAUCAAUCACAUACAAAUUUCAUCAGUUAAUACGUUGAAGUUUGAAACUACCCGUCCUCAGCAAUCUCAAUUCAUUAACAAAUGGAAGAAAGAGAAGGAAAAGAAAUUAGCAUACCGAAUCAUGGAAAGUGCAGGAACCUUCGGGAUUGUCGUCCUCGGUGAAGGUGGCGUUGCAGCCAAUUCGCUGGCAUCGAAGACGCUUCAAAGCGUCGUCGUUCUGACUCGCCAUUCUUUUGGAUUUCGCGCGUUCAAGAGGUAAGUAAGGUAAGCGUUUCGUAGAGGAAGAGUGGAAGACUUUGCAAGGACUCGAUUGGUCUGCAAUGUAAAGACAACGAAGAUUCGUCCUUUGUCCUUGCUCUCGAGUUUUUUUCUUAUACUUCAGUGCUGCGUUUUGAUUCACAUUGUGAUGGAAUAAUUUUGAUUCGGUCGACGUGUCCCCAUCUUUGACGGUCCAUUAUAAUCUCGGUCGCUUAAACACGAUCAUACCGGCUUCUGCGUCGGGUCCUCUGCGAAAAUAGCAGAUAGGCCCCUAAAAUUUUGCUCAAUCUCAGUUAUACCACAAUGUUUUCAAAAUGAACAUUCAAACCCCUCUUCAUAAUUUUCUUUUUAAAAAAAGAUCCUUUUCAUUUUGGGCUAGUAUUAUUGGUAUUUUUUUUUUCUAAAUAAAUAAAGCAAUAGAAAAUCGGAUAAAAUUUCAUCGAUACACUUCUCAAACUUUAAUAGGUUUAAGGUUUGAAAGCGUACACAUCCAUUUUCUUCAAUUUCAUGAUUUUAUCGAGUAAGGUAUAGGGUUUACAACCAAGACUCAGAGAAUUCCACAAUGAACUGCUUAAAAAUGAGAAGGUUCUAUGCAUUGUAAAAUGUUACUUCAGUUGAGAACAUUUCUCAUCAUGUUUCAUAAACAAGGCUAUCUCACAUCCAUUAUCAUCUACAGCUUUCUUUCCGAGGAACAAAUCAAUAACAUUUUUAUGUGCGUUUCAAAACGAGUGGUAUAUCGUGAGUGGCUUACAACAUGCCAACCGACUAGUAUGAGCAGGGUUAUGGGCCGAUAAUUUUGUAUUUACAGUAUCCAAAAACAUUAGAGAACGUGUGUAUGUACAUCUAAACUAUGUGCUGAGUUACAGUGGAACUGGAGUCUUGACCUGUAAUCCAAAUGCUCAAAAAUGGAACUGGUAAUGGCACCACACCCUGAUUUUAGAAAUUGCUGAUAUCAAAAUCGUAGCCCCCGAUGAGCCUGCAGUAAUGAAUUGUCACAAUAUUCUGUUAUGCACUCCAACCAGGGCUGCUGGCCUUCCCAAUAAAUUUAAAUAAUACAACAGAUUUAGCAUGUUUUCAAGACAAGAAAGUUUUUUCAUAAACAAAAAGUAAAGCAUCAGAACUAAAAUAGUCCUGGGAAGAUAUUCAAUGUUCCUAAAGAUUUCUAGCACUUCAAAGCCUGAGAAAUGUUGAUCGCAGAUUUCAUUCUAAUAGCUGUCCAUUUCAAGUGAAUCUUCGACAAUGGGCAAAGACCUUUCUGGUCUGUAGCAAUAAUGUAAUAAAGAAUGGAUACACUGUUCUUUUGAAUCUAUAUUUAUAAUAAUGUAUCCCUGUUGAUGACAGAGCAUCUUAUAUGCCCCGUAACUUCCUAAUGCUUAGAAUUUGCUAAAUGCUAAAAUGCUUAAAAGCGUGUAUUCUGCCCAUGCACAAGCAAAAUCACCCCAGCUUCGUGCUUAAAUGCCUACCUCUGUGUGUGUGUGUGUGUGUGAGAGAGAGAGAGAGAGAGAGAAACCUCAGAUCUUGGUGUGCCUUCUGACGGGAACCAAUGCAAAAGUAUACCCAAGUUCAUCACAUUUGGUAUCAAUUUGAACAGAAGAGGAGUUGUAACCUGUAGAUUAUCUUUCGCUAGCAUCAACGGCAUUCGUUUUAAUUAUAAAAGAACUGUAAAGCUUCCAAUGCAGUUUCUAUAUCAUAAGCUUACCAGACUGAGAGCUGUAGUUCCAAGAAGAAGAAGAUACAUCUUUCCCUAAAUUAUCAAUCAAGUUCAAUUCAAUAGCAAGAACAAAAACAUUAGUUGUGAUGAUGAUAAUAUUUUUAAAAAGACAUGACUUAAACAACUAUUAGACAAGGGCUAAGGUAUAAAUCAAGCAUCAGAACGAGAGACUGAUGUCACCUCAACAAGAUGAAGAUUUGAGGCUCGACUUAGAAGAACAAAAGCAAAUUCUCCAAUUUGAGCAAGUGACACUCCAACCUGCAUCAUAUAUAUGCACAUAUAUAUAACAGAUCCAGAAGAUCAGAAAACUUUAUCUAAAAUAAGAAUUCUAUUCCAUAAGCUUAGGAAGCCAACUUACAAGAAAUGAUGUCCUCAUGCUAUAACCAAACAGCUUAGUAACUAUAGUACCAACAGCUGUCUUAACAAUGAUAACCAGAAUAACAGAUGCAAGCAAAAUGUCCACAUGAUUCCAUAGAAAAUGUACAUGUAUGAGCAUUCCAAUACUGGAGAGGAAAAGAGCCGCAAACAGGUUACGAAUUGGCUCCACCUACAGCAUAGAAGAACCUCAACUUCAGGAGAUAUUGAUUAGGAUAUUCUACAACAGUGCAAAUGACUAAAAUUUUCAAGUGACAACCAGAGCAAUGCAAAAUCUUCAAUUUUCUUCAGCCACUUAAUAGGAAAAAGGGGCACAAAUAAAAGGAAUUGUUCAUUAAGAUCUGGAAAGAUGAAACAAAUUAAGAUAAAAUAAAAGGAAUAAAAAAUUUCCAACAGAUGCAUUGGAACUUAAAAUAGCAUAACAACCCUUUUCUGGAAAGUGGAAACAACUCUGUAUAAGUCAGGAUUUUUAAUAAAAUGCAUUCUUCAUCCACAAAAUAAAAAUAAAAUCUAAGUGGAGGAAUUAUCACUAGCACAGAAAAGUACCUGAUCUAAAGUAUGUUUAGCAAAGUCAGUGGUAGAUAUCAUCACUCCAGCCAUGAAUGAACCCAGCUCAAGACUGAGGCCCAGCUUAUCACUGCACUGAAAAGAAACUCCAAAGGUAUUACAUUGUCCAAGCGGAUGAUCACUUAACAGCAUAAAAGAAUAUCAUGCAGUGCAGAAACAGUAAAUUAACAAAGCAGAAAACAGAACCCAUUAUCAAUUGCCAGCAAGGUGUAUUAACCUUGACAAAACAGGUAAUUAUGUAUUGCACUUACCCAAGCAGAUAAUAAGCAAAAAGCUACAGCAGCAAGCUGAUAAAGCUCAUUUGUCUGGACAGGCGAAAAGAAAUCAAAAUGAGCUAAUAAAGGACAAGAAAUUUAUCAAAGUCAAGGCACAAAAACAAAAUAUAUGUACAAAACUCACUUGAGAUGACAGCUGUAUCAUGAGCUUUAGAAAGCGGGGAACAAAAGACCAGGAUAAAAUAGAUGUAACAGUGAGAUAAAUGGACAAAACCAGCAGCCUGAAGUUAAUAAAAGAAAAAUGUCACUAAUCAACAAAUAAUGUUUGCACAAGGGCACUGGUCAACAACAGCAAGGAAACAUUGUUGAAAAAGAAAAGGAGAACAACAAGAGCAAUCACAUUAAAAUCUAAAUUUAAAGAGCUCAAAUGAACUUACAACUUCCCCAUUGAAACCAUUCCUUGCAGAAGGCCACUGUUACCACCCAAGACUGGGAGCAGAGCAAAUAGUAACCCAACAGCACAAUCCUGAAAUAACACAAGGUCAAGAAACGGCUAAAUAUGCUUCAAAAACUGAAUCCUACUAGUCCAUGUCAUAAAUUGUAAGCGGAAUAUCAUUAAUAUAGUUUUUAAACAGCACCUGUAAAAUAAGUGUUCCAAUUGUAACUUGACCAUGAAGAGCAUUAUUGCUGUUCUGUUCUACCAAAAAUUUCACCACCUAGCACAGGUAACAGGAAAAGUAUGAACCAGAUAGAAAUCCACUAGCGGAAGCCAAGAUGAAAAGAGGAAUUCUAUUGCCAAAAAAAUGGUGUAGAAGAAUACCACUGCAGUUGAUGACAUUGAUAAGAAGGAACCAACAAAUACUCCCUCUGACAAUUUGGCUCCACAUAACUGCAGCAUAAGCAAAUAGUCCAAGUUUAACAUCAAUUUUGACAAGAAACACAACAUACAGAAAUUGUAACAAAAACCAAAUCAGAGGCUAAGCAACAUACUGCAGCCGUUAUGCCACACAAGAACAUAAAUAUUGCAAUUUGUAGUAGCCCUCCAAGAACAGCGACAUGUCCCACUGCUUUUAACUGCAUUGAUGAUGAAUUAUGGAAUUGGAACAGAUUUUAUGAACAAAGAAGGAAAAUGUUGUCAAUAGUUAUCAUACACUUUCCAAGCACAGAAUGAUGUACCUUUGUCAAAGAAAACUCUAGCCCCAAAGCAAAAAGAAGGAAGACAACACCAAAUUGUGCAAAAGUUUCAACCUGUGAUGAAUGAAACAAAAAGGAACUUGUUACCUGGAAUAAUGAUCGCAAAAUAAACAGAAGAACAAAUACACCACAAGAAUCUCUACCAGAUAAUAACUAAUAGUAGUUUACUGAAUAUCUACCAAUUCACCUAGGCUUAAUGAGCUAAAUGAAAAACUUUUCAUCAGAAAGUUAAUAUCAUAAUGAGGGAUUGAUAGUUAAAAAACUGGAAAAGUUAAAGAGGAACAUACUGUUUUUCGAGGCCAGGUUUUCUUCAAAAUCUCUUGAUGUGAAAGUUCUCAGCUUUCACAACAAAAAACUAAAUUUUGCAGUGAAGUAUUGUGGGACCGAUUACCAUAGGUUUUAUCAAACCAGAACUAAAGCAGUACCGCAACCAUUCUCGAAUUAGUUUAUUCAUUCAGCAUUAUAUCACCUUUAUGCAUCCUUUUAUAUUCAUCCGGUCUACUUCCAAGAAAAUCCUGUCAAAAUAGCCUAUGAACUAAGUGUCCCAAGAAAAUCCUGUCAAAAUAGCCUAGUGUCCCCGUACACAUUACCAACUGGCCAUUAUUUAUUUGUUUAUUUUCUUUAGCAGUAACUAGAAUAACUAUAGCUAGAAGAAGAAAUAAUCAGAGUGCCAAUGCAUAAACUACAGAAUAUACAUUCUACACCAAGAAUUGAUUAACUGAACUAUUUACAAUAGCAUACCUGUACCAAUUCGCUAAUGAAUUUCAGGCCCCCUGGUCCAAUAAUCGAACCAGCAAGAAGGUAGCCCACAAUAACCUACCAUGUGAAUCCAUAACUAUAUAAGAAUCCCAAAGCGUCCAUCAUUCAAAUCACUUAAUAUUGCUGAGUGCGAACCACCGUAAAAAGUAAAUGAUCAUUCAGUGCAAACAAGUAUAUCAUAUAUGCAGAAAACAAACAUGUAAUAUUACAAACCGGUUGUCCCAAACAUGAAAAGAUGAUUCCACCAAUAGCAGCAGAAACUAUGACAACUACCAAAUCUGAAAUUAAUCUGCAGCAAGAGUGGAAAAACUAUUAAGCAUAAAUCACAGGCGGCAUGCGAGUCAGUACUCAAGGAGAACUUAGAAGUAUGCAAAAACUUAAUUGCUUUUAAAUCAUAAUUACACCACUGUCAAGUAGCAAGACCCUAGAGAUAUUGUCUAAUAUUAAUAUGAAGAUAAAGAGAUUCGGACCUCAAAUCUACUUGAAGAACUGGAUACUUGGAUUUCUUGUUUGACAUCACAAACACAUUAUCCUACGUUAAGUAGGAAAAACAGGUCAACUCUGUCUAAUUAAAGAAUCUGUCCAAAGUUUCCGCACAAAAAAUCAAUUGCAAACAUUCACCACACCUUCUUGUCAAUCAAGGUCAUUUCAUCAUCAGAAUCCUCUUGAUCUGAGAAAAAGACAUCUUGAAACUGAAAUGGCCGUGUACCACUGACCAAGAUAUAUACAAGGUUUAAAAAAAUGUCAGUUUGGUAACAGAAGAAACGUAAUCUCUGAUUUCAAUAUAUUUAACAUAUAUUGUCCCAAAGAAUUCAUUUUGAAACACAACAGAUUUUAUACAUUCCCAUACUUCGCUUCUUGAGUAUCAUUUCUCUUCAUCUUCUCAUGAGUGAUUUUUGCUACAGUCUCCAGUACUGCCUGAAAAUCAUAAUCAUGACGCAACAUUGACAUACAUAGAAGUGAACAGUGGAGGAACAGAGUUAUAUAACUAGGAAAAUUACUUCUAAAACAAGAAAUAACCAAAUUUAUCAUAUGACAAUCACUGGUAAAAAACUGCCUGUUAAAGGUACAUUUUUAGUUACCAAAUGUGAUUAGCCAAAAACAUUUAAAUGACAUGUAAGUAAUCCCAAUUCUCUUUUACUGAAAAUGUAAGGUGCAUCACCAGCUGUAUUGUAUUUCUUUACAUACCAGUAACCCAGAUAGAAAACAAGAUUUCAGUUUCUUUAAUUAACUCCUAAAAGCUUAAUAACAGAAGUUAUGCCAGCUCAACAAAACUCUAAUCACCAAUUAUUCAUUUAAAAAAAAAAAUGAUUUCGGAGGUUCAAUCCAAUAGCCUUAAGUGAAGAAGCAAACUGACUUGUUGAUCUGCUACGCUGCUGUUGAAGCUGCUCCCGUCAGAUCCUAGUGAGAGCAGAAAGUAUGACUAAAUAUUAAGCACAAAACAUUGAAGUAGCUAAUGAGGCACCAAUGAAUACAUGCAAGCAUGUGGAACAGUCACAGUUUCUUAUGCAAUCAAUAACUGAAAACAUUAAAAGAAAAAGCAUAGGACAUGGCAAGUAUCACCAGUCCAGGAUUCAAAUCUGAAGCAUAUACUAUCAACCUCAAAGAGCACUUGAAAAAGAAUGUUAAGCACAAGAUAUUCUAUUUUCAAUCUAAUACAAAAUAUACUGGCAUCAAUAGAAGUCAAAACUACAACCACCGUCCUGAAAUUUAUUAUGCAACUUGAUAUGGACUCAACAGGAAUUUAAAACUUCCAAAAAUCUAAGUAACCCAAAAAAUAGAUACAUGUUUUCUUUUCACAUACAAUUUAACUAGCAUGGUGCAAUCGAAUGUGACUUUAACACAUAUUAGGGGCUACAUCCAGUCAUCCAGUAGUCAGAUUAAAAUUUAUCCAUAGCAUAAUAGAGCCAGAAUGAACAGAAUACCAUAGCAAAUGCCAAAACAAGAACAAUGAAACAAAAGACAACUUCAGAAAAGAAAUGAUAAAAUGUGAGAAAGUGAAACUUUAAACAAGAGAAUGAAUUAGGUGACAGAAUCAUCCAUUCACUAAUACAAAGUGACUCUCAGCCACGUUAAAACAAUAGAUCCAAUUACAACGGUUCUAUUCUCUAAGUAAUGCUGCUAUUCCACUACUCUCUAAAGUUUAACUAUCCACUUCAUGCUAGGGUCGACCGUAUAACUAGUGAUGGAAAUCAUAAAACAAAUUUAAUCUUAAAAUUUUAGUUCUUGAUGAAGAGCAUAACAACUUGCUUCCAACUCCUCCCUUGCCUAUCCCCAUCCCCACUAUGUAUAAUACCUCCUAGUAAACUUGGAUCCCAAUACAGAUUAUCAGCAGUGUCACCCCCAAUAACUUACCACCAAAAAUAUGCAAUGUAUGCUGUCUUCUUUUUACUCUUCUUCACUUCAACUUCUCACCUCGAACAACUCCAAAUUUUCAUAUAUUUAACGGUUUCAUAAUCAACUUCAGCCCUUCCAAAUUUAUAAUGUAGCUAACCAUCAUUCCAAUGAUGUCUGUUCAAGCUGUUGUAUUCAAAUAGUCAUCAAUUGGUGGAAGCUUUCCUAGAACUUGAAAGAGUAUCAAGAAGGUCUAAAAAUUGCAUUACAGUGGAGCUAAUUAUAUAAUUAAGCCUGAUACCCACAUUCGUUGCCUCUGCUAUUGAAAAAUCAUUACAAAACUAAUCAAAAUCAAAUCUUUAUAAAAAAAAUCUACUAAUAUUACAGCACAAAUCAUAAAAUUCAGCAUCAAAAAAAAGAAAAGAAAAGAGAAAUUAAGAAACGCAAACGAAGCCGAACCUGAAGACUGUUCGUUAUCGGGAAACUCUUUCUCGAGAACCCUGUCGAACAUUUUGGCUAUACUGCCGUCUCCGGAAUCCUCCUCCGUCGUAUUAACCAAAUUACCGUAAAACCUCUGGCGGGUCUCCUUAUCAGAUCUCGCGGACAUGCAUAUCCGCGAAUAAACCAAAACCAGGACAAGGACAAGGCAAUACCCGAUCCCAAACACAGCGCCACCUCCGCUACCACCACGUCUCGCCAUCGGUUGCAGAAACCUCUCUCUGUCUAGAGUGCGGGGUUUCUUUGGAUCGAAGACGUGUGCGUGGUUUUUGCUAUUUUAACUGUCAAAGGCAGGGCGGGAUCGCGCGUGAUAUUAAAAUGAAAAAUAUGUUUAUGAUGUGAUGGUGAUUAGUUACGAAUGAAAUUGAUUUAUUAACAUCAUUUCUUUUUUUCCUUUUUUUUAAUUAAAUAAACCUUUUUUUUUUGGUGAAUUAAGAAACGCGUUUAUUUUUGUGCUGGAGUUGUUGUUAAGUGACAUCAUAAUUGUUCAUUAGUUAGGCUGCAAUAAUUGUCAUUCCUUCGUUGGUUAAUUUCAAAAAAAAAUUUCAUUUGAUGGUUGUCCUCCGAGCUCGUGAUAGGAAGAUGCUCCCAGUAUUGUAGGAACGUAACGUCUAAUUUAGUACGACCAACGCGAGGAGAAUUAACGAACUAGUCCCUCUCGUUCCAAAAAUGACAAUUAAGUCUAUAGGUUUACCGAUUGUCUCAAAUUCAUCACUACGUUUGUUUUUUAUAGUCAAUCGAUAAUGAAACAUAACCAAAAGAAGGAGGUCUCUACACAACACAAAGAAGUGGGUUUUUAAAAAGAAAAUACACAAAUUAAUGGAAAAUUGUUGGAAAAUAGAAUCAAUUGCGAUCAAAUAUAUUCAGGGAUGGAGUCGAAAAAUUUGUUCAAAUGGACAUGUUCAACAUAUUAUACAAUUUCAUCUCUUAAUGUAGCUCAAUUGACUAUGAAUAUGUUUUACGUCCGCAGCCAUUUGAGUUCAAAUAACAAUAAAUAGUAAAGAUUGGUAUUUAUUAAGUGAGAUUUCACAUUCUCAAUCCAAAACCCUUCAAAAAAAGUAAAAUACAAUUUCAAAAAAAAAAAUCAAAUAGUCAACAAGAUAUGGCAUUUUAACUAUAAUAUUCAUUGAUUUAUUUCUACAUCGAGAAUUCAAAUAUUGAACUAUUAGUAAGCAUAAUCAAUUUUUGAAAUAGUCAACAAGAUAUGUUCAUGAUAUUUAAAACGCAGAUGAAACACUUUCACAAAUUCAAAUAAAGUAAGGUCUGAUGUCAAAUUAUUGUUGAAAAGUUUUCCGAAACCAGCUGGAACGGUGCCUCAAUUGAUCUUAUACCAGCUCCGCUGUGAGUAUAUGUAUAUGGGUUGAUAAUAUGCAUUAGAUCCCAAGUAAACAAUAAUUCGAAACUACACAAAAUUUGUAAAAAAUAUAUCUCCAAUAAUAUAACAUUUCAUAAAAUUAUGAUAAAAUGAAGUAAUAUAUUAUUUGUGUAAAAACAUCACAAGACACUUCAUGGACGAGAAUUUAUUUUAGAAUAAUAAUAUUUUGGACGGCAUUUCGCAUUUCUCCAAAGUCAAAAAUAGUUAUUAACCCAAUAAUUUAUCACAAUUCAGUGUUUUAAAACUUCCGAACGUAACCUUAAUACUAUUGGGCUUUGUGUCAAGCCCAAAUUUUUCUGUUUUUUCACCCCCUUCCUCCAAAUGUGUUCUAAUAACACGGACGACGUGUCAGAGGCGGCGUCCACCCAAGUGUGGCUAUAAUAAGUUCACACUGCAAGCGAGCCAACAACCAAGCGUGUGCUGGCCACAGGUUGAUUCUAUGCACUCAGCUUUUUCUCUCUGCCCUUAUCAAUCACAUAUUUUUUCAGAGCGUAUCAAUCCGUGCGUUUCAAUGGCGUCGAUUGCGAUGAGUUGUUCGGCGGCUGUGCCUGGAUUCCGUUUCAACAAAUCGCCAAUGGCGGCGGGUGUAGUUACGGCGAGGCCGAGGCGCGUGGUGGUGGUGAGAGCGGAAGGUCAGGGGAUCAAUUUGGAUAUCAGGAAGACGGAGGAGAAGGUUGUUGACUCUGUCGUGGUAACCGAGCUCUCCAAGCCCCUCACCGCGUAUUGCAGGUACUUUAAUUUGGUUCUGUUUCGUAAUUUAAAUACCAGAUUAAUUUAGAGACGCCUUUUUUUUUUUCAAAUUAUUGUUGUUAUUUGUUAUUAUUUACAGGAUGUGUUCGGAAUAGGAAAUUGAUUUAUGAGAUAAUUGUUAGAGAACCACAAAUAGAAAUAGAAAUUACUUGAGAGCGUUUGGACUUGGGGAAUUUGAAUAGAAAAUUACAAAUAGAAAUAGGAAGUACUCUUCUGAAAGAGAAAAAAAAAAAAAAAAAGUUAAACACUAGAGCUCUUUCUGCUCCGAAGUGCUUUCUAUAUAAAAUAUACAUAUAUAGUAGAAAAUUAAAUGUUAUCAACUUACCUACUAGGACUAACUUACGUACCCAGAUUUUUAAUCCUCACUAAUAUUCGAGGGAUGAAAAUACGAGCUUAUGGGGGUGCUUGUGGUAACUUACCUACUAAGAUCAACUUACAUCAAUACUUAUGGAGUUCGACUCAAAUUUUUAACCAUCACUAAUAUUCGAGGGAUGAAAAUAACCCACAUUGCGCUUGUGGGGUUACUUGUGGGGGUUCGCUGCCCUCCAAGUAAUAAUCUUAUUUGUAAAUAUCAGUUCUAAUCUCAUACAAUAUGAGUUGUAGUUUAAGUAAUAGUCUCGUGUAAUUAAAAAAAAAAAUAACUUGUGAUGUCGAGGUUUUGAUCAUUUGGGUUUGUUUGAUUGUUUUGAGUGUAGAUGCUGGAGGUCAGGGACGUUCCCCCUGUGCGAUGGAAGCCACGUAAAGCACAACAAAGCUACUGGGGAUAAUGUUGGGCCUUUGCUGUUGAAAAAGCAGUGAUUAUGUUAUGUAUUUUCAUUUUCCCUUGGUGCCAUUUGUUCCUGAACUUGAGAACUGAAACACUUUUGAGAGUUGAUUGCAUGAAUAAUGAGUUUUCUGUCAUUAGUUGACCAAAACUUUGGUCGCAAUAGAAUGCUAGGAAUAAUAGCCUAGGCGAUGUUAGAUUAAAGAGAGAAACAGUAUUGGGCCUUGGGUAUUGUUGGGCCUUUCAACAAUUAACCAAGAAUGCUGGUGCUUGUUGUAAAUCGCGGUGGAUUUCAUCAAAAUAAUGCUCUCCCAUUGUCUUCUUUAUUGUUCUUCCCAUUAUCUUUUUUUUAUAAUUAAUAAUUGUGAAUAACUCCACCUUCUAAUGCCUAUAUAUACCCUUUCUUUGCUAAUGAAUUAAUACAAUUCAAUUUGUCGUUCAAGGCAUUUUGCUUGUUUUCUUCGAUCUUCAUUUGAGUAUUCUUUACUUAGAUAUCAUCAUUAAAUAAUUGAUUACAUACAAUCCCUUUAAAUUAUAACAUUCAUUAUCUCCAAAUUUAUAACAGUGCUAUUAUUAUUAGAUGCACUAUAAUACAGCAUAUACUAUAUGACGAACUUCAUUUUUAACAAGUUUAACCGCCCACCGACUCAUUACAAUUCCACACGCCCUCGUUUGCUCGAAUGAAAAAAAAAAACUUCUCUCUUUUAUGAAUGAAGGGGACGUUGAAAACUUGUGAGUUUGAUAAAGAACAAAAUUAAGUAAUGAAAAUUACAACCGUGGCUUAUUGGGCGUUUGACAUUAAUGAAAAUCAAAGCUGAUGCUUGGUCGACAUUUGAUUCGUCAACUUUUGAUCGCCCCACCGUGCGGCAAGGGAAAGUGAUUAUGCAAAUCGAUAUCUAUAUAUAUAAGCUAAUGGUAGAGCUUGUGCUUGGCCGCCAAGUGAACUGAAUGAAUAUGACGUUUCGCGUGGUGUUCUUUUUAAAUUUUAAUUUUGGCAUGUGCAGAUGUGAAUCGAUAUCAUAUGAGUUUAUACGAGUGGCAUAUUGUAAUGGACUUAACUGCUAUUUUUACUGCCAAGCGAUCCCAGCUUAGUAGGUCAUCAUUUCUUGUGUGCUUGCUGAUCCCACCCCCACAAUUGUUGAAGUUUUCAUUUAUGUCCGCUCGUCGUGAUAGAAUGUGUACACUGUUGUAAACGUUGAGUAUCGGCAACCAAAAAAUAAAUAAAAACCUUGUCAGCGCACUGGAAAAAUUAGUGGUGCAUUUGUUUCCUAUAAAUCUGAACAUGUAAGAAUCAAACGAGUUAUACUCGAAAUAAGUUAAAAGAGAACCUUGUACAAACAACACUUGUAAAUAUACAUUUGUCCUGAUCAUUCAGAUUCUUUAUCACCCUUGAUUUAUUGUAGCCUGCCCUAUAUUACAACUAUACAUAUACCCUCUUAGAAUCUGACAUUGAAAUUUUGACAAGAAACCAUUUUGAAGCAAGAAAAACUUGAUAAAAACUUGGCUUAUUACCCCGUCAAGCAUCUGAUAAUCUUCUUAAAGCAAAGCCCCACCACCCAUUUAUUCCAAAGAUGCAUUUGUAAUGGGUUGAAUCAAAAUAAAUUGGAAUGAAAAUAAAGAAUAAGAAUUAGAAGAAAUUAUUUUCUUGAACUAUAGGAAUCAAAAUCUUGAGUCUGUAUAGGUGGAAGUCAUUUUCUCCUAUAAGUUUCUCUACAUCAAGCUUAGGCGUUACCAUUCUUAGACCAAGAAUUCAUGGAAUGACUCUGAUACCAAUUAGUUGAACCAAAAACUUAUUUAAAGGCUGUCAAGAGUGAUAAGUCCAUCUAAUCAAGAUGCAUGUUAUUCACAGCAAUAAGUGCCAAUAGAAUUCUUAAAGAGGAGUGUUUAACCACCGGAGAAAAUACCUUAGUGAAAUCAAUUCUCUUAUUUUAAGUAAAACUUUUGGCUACAAGCCUUGCUUUGAAUCUUUGUGUCUCAACACCCAGUAUUCCCUCUUUAAUUCUAUAAAUCCACUUACAGCUUAUUACUUUUUUGUUUGUUGGUUUCUCAAUCAGAUCUCAUGUAUGAUUCUUUAUUAAAGAUUAUGCUUGACUUAGAAUUUCUAGGUAUCCAACCCAAAAAAUUAGUUUAUUGAGUGGAGUGACUUAUUCUCCUUAUAAACCCAAGUAUCUUCUCUUUACUAGCUAAUGUGGGACACAUCUCAACAACUAGAAUGUAAAGAAACUCGUGUGAUUUGUGUUCUGGUGAUUUGUGAUUGAUCUAACUUGAUUAAUGUUUUCCCAAAGGUUUAGGAGUCUCGUUUCGCUGCCAUAACUUUAAACUGAGUGCUUUGUUUUUGCUAUUAAUAAUGUCUGCAUUAUGUUUUACAUACUGAGGUUACUUGCUGUGUUUAUUUAAGUUCUGUUUUACAUCAGUACAUGUUCUUGUGAAUCUCUCUUUCAUCUAGAAAUUUCUACUCACGACAAUUGAUGUUUGGGCAUUAUUAUUCCAUUUAUCUGACCAAACAUGAUGGUCAGAUUCCUUCAUAUUCUUAUUUGAAAUCAGGGUAAUGCAUUGCUCUCAAGUCGAGGAAGGAAGCAAUCUUACGUUCUCAUGUGGUGCGAAAAUUCUUUGAUCCAAGAGCAAAUUCUACUGGAACUGGAAUGAACCAAAAGGUUUCUUGACCCAUAAAUGUGUCGUUUGGAAUAUUAUUUAAUGUACGUUGUUUUUUUUAAAAAAAAAUUGAAAAUGUUUCUUAUAAUUUAACUUAUAGUUGUUAAAACUUUUUGGUACGAAAUAAUUAACAUAACUUUUUUAAAUUUCAACGUAGCUUCAUUGGAAUUCCUAUUGUGUGAGAAUUAAUAUGCAUAAGAGUAAGUCAAUUAAACCUAUUUCUUUUGCCUUUAAGAUUUCUACAAAUUCAUAUAAUUAUGUCUAACACUAAAAUUCGUCAUAGUUUUAUAUACAUUCUAUUAAACUUUGUUUUUAAAAGUCACUGAAGCUAUUGGUGUUUUCUUCCAUCUUAAAAGUCACUCGGCCAAACGCGAGUGGUUAGGCCUGCUACCCUCUAAGCAGUUCGAACCCCUACAAGUAUAAUGUGGGAGUAUUUCCUUCUUUAAUUAUAUUGUAUAAUUGAAUGAAAAUAAUCUUCUCACUUACCCACGAGUAAGUGGACCAGACAUCCCUCGAAUAUUAGUGAGGGUUAAAAUAUGAGCAGAGCUCCAUAAUCAUUAAUAUAAGUUGGUCCUAGUAAUAGUUUGAUUUGUAAAUAUCAGUUAUAAUCUUAUGUAAUAUGAGUUGUAAUUUGAGCAAUAAUCUCAUAUAAUCAAAAAAAAAAAAAGAUAAUAGUUCUAAAGAACGUGUAUUUUUUAAUAUAAAUUUUGUUAAGUAAAUUAUUAAUGUAUUUCAACUGUAUGAAUUUAUAGACUUCUCAAAAUCCCGGGUUGUAUUAGACCAUGAUACAUUUUAAAGAACACGCACAUGAAAAAUCAUGUGCAUAAAGAGAGACUGAUGAUGAAUUAAUUGAAGCAUAAUUAUCAAUUUGUCAAACCUCAACAAUCAACAAAUGAGCUUAUAAAGCCAUCUUUUUUUCUAGGCUGUCAUUUUUGUUUUUACAUCGAAAUCUAAUUGCUUCUGUAUCCACUUACCCAUUAAACUCUAGAAUGUUUGAUACUAGAAAUAAUCCAACUGUACUCCAAAGUCCAAAAAUAAAUGUUGUCAAUUAAUCCCAUACUAAAAAAAUUUAAUAAAAUAAAGUUCUAAUCAAUGCCCUUCGCUGUUUUAGAGCAUGCUUUUUUUUUUAUUUCUUAUUUCCGUCUCGGGCGCUUGUGCUGCUGGGAAAUUAAGCUACCAAGCACAUGUUAAGUGUGACAGAUGCUUCUAGUAGUUGAGAUAUGCACAUCACUACAUGUCAUGUGUUAGUGUUGGAACUCGCAAGCUCUUAUUGUGGACGUUCUCAUUUUUAUCAACAUGAUGAUCAUAUUAUGCUCAUGAUUUGCUUGCUAUUAAAGGAGUAAAAUUUUACCGUACUAUUUUUGAAUUAAUAUGUUUAAGACAGGCGAAAAAAAAAAAAAAACCCAUCUGUAGUUCUGUACGUAUUUUAUGAUUUUAUGUCAAAUUAAUAUUUUAUUCAUUUCAUCCCAAAUGCCAUUGGAUUCUUUAGUGUCGGUGUUACAGCUUUAAUGCAUCAAAUUUAGGAACUUUAAUGUAAAACAAUUAUGAUUGCUAACGUUGGCCCAGUCCACACGUUGGGAGUAACAAAAGGUCAAAUCCAACCUUGGGAGUUCUCAAAUCGCAAUUGCCCUUUCUUUUCUUUUUAUUUGGUUUGUGGGAAAAAGACUGUCAUAGGGUAAGGUUUAGGAAAAUGAAUCAAAAAUAUCUCAACGUUUUAGAAAAAACUAUUUACAAUUCUAUUUUUUUUAGUAGAUUCUAUUUGUUUUAUUAAAAAUGCAUUUUUAUUUUAUAAUUAUUAUUAUAUCCCUCUACCAAAUAAGUCAAUAGGUUAUUAACCUUUGAUGAAAUUGAUGAGAUUGGUGGCUAGUUGACUUUUAUCAUAAACAUCCUCUUCAGAGCCACUUCAUCGAAGCUAUUGUCGGUUCGUCGAACAAGAAACCGGUUCUACCAAAGCACGCAUAAUUAAUUAAUUAAUCUCUAAUAAACACUUAUUAAACACGUAAUUUUUGUUAAAAGAAAAAAAAAGUGACAUAAGAAAUGAUUCACAUAUAGUCAAGUUAGUAUUAAUUUUUUUUAAAAAAAUCCUCUCAUGAUCUAUGUCUUCUGAGUUUUUCAAGAUUUUUUUUUAUGUGUAUUUUAGUGAUAGUGUAUGGAUAAGAUUCAACUCUUUUUAUUUUUUUUAUUUAUUAACUAUCAAUUAAUAAACGAAUUAUUUACUUAGAAUAUAAUCAGAUUAUAAAAGAAUCUUAAUCUAAUUUUUUUAAGAUUAACAUAUUAAAUUAAAUUGGUAUGAGCCAAAAGUUGACAAUAAAGAGUAAACCAAAUUGCCGCCACACUCAAAUAAAUCCUCCGAUCCGUUAUCUGUACAUAAAAUUACUCGUGGGGGCGGUAUGUUUCAGCAAUCGGGUUUUAACCACUUCUGAUGUUUUGCAAAUGUGGGUCCAAUAGAAUCAUACUCCAUAUGAUUCCGCCAAGUUUCCAAUUGUAUUCCAAAAUUUCAAACGUGAUAAUUUUUCCUUUUUGCCCUUUUUUUUCUUAACUCAAGUUUGUCGGCGGCGGGUGCCCAAAGCUUUUGUUUCCUUGGGCCUCAACGGACCCUUACGAACGGACCACGUGAGCCCGAAAGUUUAUCGCUUUACUUUACUCUUAUCAUUACAGCUAUUAGCUAACCGUAUCGGGCGCCACUUCUCCGUCUUCACUACAUUUUAAUAAUGAGCAUGACAUUCUCAAAAAAAAUAAUAAUAAUAAUGAGCAUGACGUCCGCUGGCAUUACACGACACCGUUUCGUACUAGCAGCGACAAAAUUAACAGGUGUCAAUCCCACUGUCAUGGGCCCACGCGUCGCGCUACACGUGGCGGCGCUACGGCACGUGGUCAACUUUUUAAAUUAGACCCUUGUUUAGAAAUUUGAAAAAUAUUCCUGAACUCCGAAUCUAGUAAUUGAAAAAUCGAUUCGCCGAAAACUGUGGCUUAUUGUGAUUGGUUGGUAUUAAUAAAUUAGUACAAGAGCGUCAAGGGGUACCACGACUAGCGGCAAACUAUUAUUCCAUUUUCUUUCUUGAAUAAUCCCGCUUUUAGCAUUAUAUUAAAAAAUUUAAAUAUAUAAUUAGAAAUAUUAUUAAUUAUUAAUGGAUUUAAUCACCCAAUUAUGGAAUUGAGAAUUGGACAAAUUUAGAUCUAAAUUUAUACUUGUAACCCAAAAAUGAAGAGUGUUAAUUCUACUUCCAUAAUUAGCUGAAAUAAUUCUUUCCAUUCUCUAUCACUACAAAUUUAGCCUGGCGAGGGGCGAACGAUAUACAAAAUUAUAAAUAGGAACGCCCCGACCAAUCAGGCAAUUAUGCAGGGGGUCGAACUUUCAGUGGGUACCCACAUCGAAGCAAAAGCACCGUUACAUUUUGAGAGUACAACACUUUGUCGGUCGUCCAAUCCGACGGCUAAAACUCACCCACGUGUCGAUCCUUCACCCCUCCGUUCCUCCUUGCUUCGCCAACAAUAAAGUACACGAUCCUUAAUUUCUCAAAGCUAAGCGAAAAACACUAACCGAGAAAUCACUCGUCUCUUUCCCAGCGCUUCUACUUUCCUUUCACUGGAGAGAAAAAAUAUAUUCCCAUUUGUUUCCGAUAAACCGGCACCGGAAUUAUCAGACGGCUAUUUUCUGAUGCUUCCAUAUUCCAAGCUUCCGUCGCCGGACCCGCCUCCGAAAAAAUCAAAAUUUCCCGAGUUAGAUCAAAAGAGCUCGUUAAAUGGACUGAUUUAUCCAACUCUCUCGCUUCAAAGCCCACGCUCAUGGCUGCUCCUCGUCAUCCUCUUGCUCCAGGUAAUUUUCGUCCUCGUGCUCCGCUCCGUCUCCAUGUCAUUCUCCACUAGCCACGUGGCGCCCCAACAGUCCCACCCCGAAAUAUCGGCCUCCGUCCCUCGCGUAUCGGACCAAUGCGAGUUGGGUAAAAUCUACGUCUACGAUCUCCCUAAAGCUCUCAACGAAGAUUUAUUACAAAAUUGCCACGAGCUGAACCCGUGGGGUUCUCGCUGCGACAUGCUGUUAAACGACGGGUUCGGCAGACAGGCGAGUGCGUUAAACGGCGUCGUACCGGAGAAUUUAGUCCCGGCUUGGCACUGGACUGAUCAGUUCGUUCUGGAAAUCAUUUUUCACAGAAGGAUUUUGAACCACAGGUGUCGGACGUUGGAGCCAGAAUCUGCUGCGGCGUUCUACAUACCGUUUUACGUUGGACUCGCGGUGGGGAAAUACCUGUGGUCUGAUUCGAGCGCCAAGGCGCGCGAUAUGCACUGCGAUAUGAUGUUAAAGUGGGUCCAGGAUCAACCGUAUUGGAACCGAUCGGACGGGUGGGAUCAUUUCACGGCCAUGGGGAGGAUCACGUGGGAUUUUCGGCGGUCGAAGGACGAAGACUGGGGGUCCAGCUGCAUCUACAAGAAAGCUAUGAGGAACAUCACCCGCCUCCUCAUCGAACGAAACCCGUGGGACUACUUCGACGUCGGUGUGCCUUACCCCACUGGAUUCCACCCCCGAUCCGCGUCCGACGUCACCCAGUGGCAGGACUACGUCCGCAGCCGCAAUCGCUCGUCCCUCUACUGCUUCGCUGGGGCCACGCGGAUGGUCAAGAACGACUUCCGGUCGAUGCUGCUGAGUCACUGCAAGAACGAGUCGGGCUCGUGCCGGGUCGUGGACUGCGAGGGGACCCGGUGCAUGAACGGCACGUCGGCGAUCCUCGAAACGUUCUUGGACUCGGUGUUUUGCUUGCAGCCGAGGGGGGACAGCUUCACGCGGAGGUCGAUAUUUGACUGCAUGGUGGCCGGUUCGAUCCCGGUUUUUUUCUGGAAGCGGUCGGCCUAUUUCCAGUACGCUUGGUUUUUGCCCGAUGAGCCCGGGAGUUACUCGGUUUUUAUAGACCGGAACGAGGUGAGGAAUGGGACCAAGUCGAUAAAAGCAGUGCUGGAGAGUUACUCACAAGAGGAAGUGAAGAGAAUGAGAGAUAAAGUAAUUGAUUAUAUACCAAAGUUUAUUUACGCCAAAUCCAGAGAAGGUUUAGGGACAAUCAAAGAUGCAUUCGAUGUUGCAAUUGAUGGGGUGUUACGGAGAAUCAAGGAGCAACAAGAGUUGGGAUUUAAGUGGUAGAUCAUGGACCGUCGGCUUAUGUGUAUUCUGUACAUAUUUUUUCACUACAGAUAAUUAAUUUUACCAAUAUAGAUGUAAUUUUUUUGUUUUUUUUUGCUUUUUGGAUCGAUGAGAGUUCUGCGAUAUACGUUUGCCUGGCAACUGGCUGGGUGGGUGGGUGGCCGGCCUUAUCAGAGUGAAGGACCACUGCUCCAUUAUUCUUUUGGAUGUCGUGUAUAUUAUCAUUUUUGUGGCGCCUUACAUUACUUACAUGGAUGCGCCAUGAACUGGGUUCCCUUUUGUUUCCUUGAAAUUGAUUUUUGGUAUCAAUACAAUGUUCAUUGCCGAAUAAAUUAUUGAUGAAGUUUUAAUUUAUUUCUUUUUGUUUGAUGGCUCGUGGACAUCUUGGAAAUAAGCUUGUAUGCGUUUUCUUUCAUGAUGAUUAAGAGAGCAGAUGGUGAAUAGAUAUAUAUAUAUAUUUCUUUUAUCACGAGGUAUUCUGGGAAGGGCCUCAACUGUGGGAGUUACCUUUAAGUCCGUACCAUAAUUCAGAUUAGAAGUCCCCGCUUGAAUCGAGAGGCACAUAUUCUCCCAACAAAGACGAAUAGAUAGUUAAAUGCAGAAGAAGGAAGCACACCAGAAUUUGGAAGCCGUGGUCUUUUAUUUUUACCAACGUAAACCUGAUUAUAAUACAUUUGACAACGUACAGUUAUAUUAUAUUCAACAACAUUCGACUAACGCAUGUUGUUAAAGUUAUAUUGUCUUAACCUGAUUGUUGUUAUUAUUAUUAUUGUUUUUGCACAAUAUGACAAAUAUUGUAAUAAAUAACAGUAAUUACAAUAACAAAUUAAGGGUAUUUUAGUAACUUAAAAUAAUUUAUUUUAAUUUUAAAAUAAAAUAAAUACAUCAACGUUAAUACGACUCAUUCUGAUUUUGAUAAGUAUUUCCUAAUUCAAUAAAUAAAUACUCCAUAAAAAAAAAAAGAAAAAGGGNNNNNNNNNNNNNNNNNNNNNNNNNNNNNNNNNNNNNNNNNNNNNNNNNNNNNNNNNNNNNNGUUAUCCUCUUUCAUUUUACAUUUCUCAUCAUUCCACCUUGUUGUUUUCCCAUUGGACGAUCAAGUUUGACAUCAUGUUUUAGUUGUUUUAUACUGCAAAUUGCCAGUAAAUAUCAAACACCAACAACCGCAUCAUUGUCCUCGCAACUAGGUUUAAACUGUUAUCUAAACCAUUUUUAAAUCAAAGUUUUGUCUUAGGGGAAGAAAAAAAUAGUGAAAUGGGUUUUCUGGUUUGAUGAUCUCAUUGAUUAAUAUAGAGGAACAUGGCAAAGUGACGAUGGUGGGCCUUAAAAGCAUAAAAAGCCGAAGGAAUCUCCAUAUUUUGCUACUUUCCUCUUGCAGAUGGAGGCAAGAGCAUGCCCAAUUACAAAUAUACAGAGUUAAUUAGGAAAGCAACAAAAACUAAUACUUCCUUGUCAAUGGCACCUUAUUUCUCAAUUUCUUUUAUGUCAGUGUCUGUAGUUUUUAGGAGAGUGACUGGGUGAGGGUGAGAGUGGUGAAGUGCAACAUAUAACAUAUGUAAGUAAGAGUAGGCCUAGCCACUCGGCCAAAGGCCGAGUGGUGAGAGCUGCUGCUCUCUAAGCAGCAGUUCGAACCCCCACAAUGUAUUGUGGGAGUAUUUUUUUUCUCAAUUAAAUUUGAGUGAAGGCAGUCUGCUUCCUUACCUAAGUACGAGGAGUAGACAUCUCUCGAAUAUUUGAGAGGGUUAAAAUUUGAGCAACGCUCCAUUAGCAUUGAUGUAUGUUGGUCUCAUUUAUAGUCUGAUUUAUAAAUAUCAAUUAUAUUCGCAUGUAAUAUGAGUUGUAGUUUGAGCAAUAAUCUCAUAUAAUAAAAUAAAAUAAAAUAAAAAGUAAGAGUAGGCCUUCCUCAUUUGUCAUUUCAAACCAUGUCAAGAGUUGAAUCAUUCCCACCCCUUCACAAACCUCUUAAAAUUCUUUUAAUUAUUUUACGAUUUUAACCUUUAUUAAAUUUACAUAACAAUUGUCUUGCGCUGAAAGCUCUCCACUUCACCAUCUUGAAUUCUGUUAGACAAACCGCAUCGUGUGAUCAAGACGAUGAAUGCGACAAUUGAAGAAUGAGAUGUCGAUAUCGAAUUCGGCAUGACGACAUCCCAUCUCCAUAUUAAGAUGACAGUGUGCAGAUAAUCUUUGAGAGGGGCCACUGGCUGCGUCUUUUAGUGAAAUCCCAAUUGAUUGUUAUUAGUUUUUACUGAUGAGAUGUAAGUCAUGUCUUCACAUUCAUUUUCAAGUGUACUGAUGAGGUUGAACAAUUUAAUUGUGAUAAAUAAAUAAAAAAGGAAUAAUUUUAGAAUAUAUAUGGUGUAUUAAAACUAAUUAAUACAUAUAUAACAUGUGUAAUUGAGUUUAAUACUCUUCAUUAUUUGUAUGAUAAUUUAUAAAAUAAAUACAUAUAUGUCAUGAUAUUAUUUAGUUAUUAUAUGGGUGAUAUGGUAGAUGUAUUUUAAAAUUUCUAUUAAAAAAAAAAGAAAUUUUAAGACGCAUUUAAAAGAGUGCCAAUAGGUCAAGUCAUUAUGUCAUUGACAAACAAUCUAAUCACUAUGGGUGUGUUUUUUUUUUAAUUACAUGAGACUAAUGCUUAAACUACAACUCAUAUUACAUGAGAUUAUAACUGAUAUUUACAAAUCAGAUUAUUGUUGGGACCAACUUACAUCAAUGCUAAUAGAGCUCUGCCCAGAUUUUAACCCUCACAAAUAUUCGAGGGAUAUCUACUCCUCACUCUUGGAUAAAGAAAUAGACUAUCUUCACUCAAUUUUUAAUUGAAGAAGAAAAUACCCAACAAUGCAUUUAUGGGGAUUCGAACUGUUGCCCUGCAGCUUAGAGGGCAGCAACCCUAACCACUCGGGCCAAGGCCGAGUGGCUCAAUGGGCGUGUUUGCAACCCGCAUAACAUCAGACUCAUGUUUGGGCAAUUGGGCUGCAGUAGCUGCAACAUUGUGGUGUAUAUUCAAACCCGAGUGUGACUGUUAAAUUAACUUUCUUUCUAUUUUUAUUUUUCAUGUAUUAUAACAAAUAAAAAUAAAUUUAUGAUUAAUUUUAAAUAAUUUAAUAAUAUAUUUUUUAUUUUAUAUUAAUUAUAUAAAUAUAUAAUUAAAUAUUACAUUGUUUAAUUAUAUUAUAAUAAUUAGUAUAAAGAUUAAAUAUUAUAAAAUAUUUUAGUGUAACUGAUAAUAAAUAGUUAAAUAUUAAUAAAUUUAAAUAAUAUAAAUUUAAAAUUAAUACUAAUAUAAAUAAUGAUAUAAUUACAUAUACUACAAUACAUAUUGUACUAAACAUGAUAUUGCAUUAUAACUUAAUACAUCUAAUGGUGCGUUUACUAAUUAAUAAUUAGUAAUUGGCUAGAAUCGAAAUGGAGGAGUGAAAAUCAAAAUAAAAUUAUUUAUUUUAGCUGUAGAAAUCGGGAUAGGAAUGAGCUGUAUUGUGUUAAUUUUAUCUUGAAAUUAUAAUAAAUUGUUUUAGAUUACUAAAAUGGUUUUAGUUUAUGAUUAACAUUAUUUUUAUCAUUUAUUAUAAUGAUUAUCAUUAUUAUUAUUAUUCAAGAAAAUUUGUUAAUACUAAUAAUAAUAGACUUAAUAGUUACAGUUGUUGUUGUUGUUGUUGUUGUUGUUGUGUCUAUAUUCUCUCUUUUGUCCUUUUUUCCCUCUUUUUCUCCUUCUCUUUUUUCUUUCAUUUUUUUUUAUUUUUUAUUUUUCUUUUCUUUAUUAUUUCUUUUCUUCUUCGUCUAUUCUUAUUUUCUUAAUUUUCAAACUCAUUUUUCUUUUUCUCUUAUUUUUUGUUACUUCUUCUUCUUCUUCUUCUUUUUUGUUUCGUUUUUAUUUUUUCCUCUUCUUUAUCAUUUCUUAUUGUUCUCCCUUUGGUCUUCAAAUCAACAAGUGAAAGACACCGACAAUGCUACAUGAUGAUCGAUGACGCAAUUCCUACUUGCUGCGUGAUGAGAUCUUAGUUUUGGUUAAUGUGAUUUUCAAUUUUUUUUGUAUUUUUUAUUUUUAUUAUCUAAAAAGAGAAUAAAAUUGCAACAAUGUAAUUUGGGAUAUUUUUUAGAGUUUUGGGAAUGAGAGUACUUUAAACUCUCUCUAAUAUUUAAAAGGUGUCUACUCUACUCAUAUUUUGUAAAAGAGGGACUGUUUCCAGUCAAUUAGUUGAUAAUUGAGAGAGUACUGAAACUAACCUCUAUAAUAUUCUUAUGAAAGCUUAAACACUUACACUCGAUAUUGUAAGUGGAAGUUUCUUCUAUUGGACCAAAAGUCCAUUGGUUAAUGUAAUAUACCUUAAUACAACACAAUAGUAUGUCAAACAUAUCCUAUAAGACAAAAAUCUGAUGUAAAAGGCUGAUGUGGCCCAGAUAAGUCUGGACUCUCGGGCAGCACAAAGGGCCCAAAUAGACCCAUAAAACCUUAACCUCAAAUAAAUCAAGUUGAUAGUAACUCUUUACACUCACAUCCCCUGAAGACAGUUUCAUCUUUGUCGUCUCCUUAACGGCAUCUUGGCUUCACUUCUGUAAAUACAACUCGUUUGCCAAUUGAAUGUUGUUUCCCUUACUUCUCACCUGCAGUGAAAGGGUUAUUUCGAUUUCAAUAAAUUGUUUUUGUUGCACAUAAUUCCUUAGUUUAAAAUUUGAAUGUAUGUAAAGAUUGGCUUCUUUCACCAUAAAUAUAUUUUCUGACAACUGCAGAGCUUGUUUAAUUCAGGGCCGGAUUCCCAGUCCCACUGAAAAAAAAAUCUUUUAAUAAUUAAUUUAAUUAUCUUAUAAUUUCUAAUAAAUUUUUCUUAAAUCCCCAAUAAUUUAUAUUCAAGCCCCUAAUACAUAUCUACACUUAAAUUCUCACACUCCAAAAUUUUAAAACAAAUCAAAAGAGAUGGACUUUACAAACUAAAAUCAAGCCCAAAAACAUCAAUAUUAAUUAAAUUUUUAAACAUAAAUAUUAGUAUUAGUGUAGAGAGAGCAUUUUCAGCCAUGAACAUUUUAAAGAAUCGGUUACGAAACCAAAUAAGAGAGCAAUGGAUGAAUGAUAGUUUGGUUGUUAUAUAAAAAAAAAACCUAUUUAAUAAUAUUGAUAAUGAAGUUGUAAUGCAACAUUAUCAAUGUAUGAAAACUCGUAAAGGACAAUUGUAAACAUAUUUUGAAGUAUGAAAAACCUUUCAAAUUUAUAUAUUUAUUAUUUUUUAAAUUUUUUUAUAUUAUUGUUGAAUAAACCCCCAGUCAAUCAAUAUACUGACUCCACCCCUGUUGUUUAUUGUCUUAUAAUUUAGAACAAAGAAAGCAUACAAGAUGACAUGAUUUCGAUGUCAUUGCAGUCUUAAUACCAUCUCUAAAUAAAAAAGAUAAAAUAAAAAAUCUUUCUCAGUCUCUCUACCAUACGCCGGGUUCAUUGAGAAAAAAAUGGUACGGGGAUAUUUGUGGCAUUAAAGUUGGUGUAACUGGUAUGUGAGUGGCCAUUCCUUCUUUUUUUUUUUUUUGGGGGAUAGUAAAGCAUAAAUAGUACGUGAGUGGCUUUGAUUUUUAUUCUUUAAUGCUUGUAAUUAAAAAGUGGGGUUAUAAGAACAGUAGUGGGGUGGUGGUAGCACACUCUAUUAAAUAUCCACUCAGUCCUCAGCGGCGUCAGCACUACUACUUUGCCCAUGCAAUAUUUGCCCGAAUCCUCUCCUCGGCAGGCAAACGCAAAACUCUAAACUAGCCCUUCUGAAACGAGGCGUUUUAGUGUUUUACUUGCGAAAUUUGACUGGACAAAGUAGCAACCUUGAAUGAUCCACAUAUUAUUUGAAGAGGUUCUGAUCUAAUCAUCUAAUGCGCGCUGUCACGCAUUGUGUGCAACGAUGCGUAUGAUGAAUUUUCAUUAACUAAAUUAUGUGUCCUCAGUACAACUCUACCGGUACAAAUUUGUCACAUAUAUCAGUUGUUCACCAUAACGUGCACAUAUAAUCAAAAUUCUUUUAAGUUAUAUAUACUGAUUUCAUUCCGCAUUUGCUCUUAUUGCAUACAAAUUAUCAUAGUUUGGGCUUUUAUGAAGGAUGCUGAUAGGCGUGGCCAAAACUAAAUUGGACCUGAAAAAUUACCGGUUCGAUUUGGUUUUUUAGGGUUUUCGAUCGUUAUUUUUUCUUAGAAAAAAGUGAAUAUUUUGGUUUGUUAUAAAAUCAAAUACUUUAGUUCGGUUUGCAUGUUAAAGUUUCAAAUCUGAAAAUCAAACCAAAAAAUUGAAAAAAUAAUUUUUAAAUAAAAAAAUUUCAUAUCAUUUAGGGGUGGCCCAAACUAAACUGGACUUGAAAAACUUCGAUUUAAUUCGGUUUUCUAAGCUUCAAUUCAUUAUUUUAUAACUAAAAACACUGAAUGAAUUAACGUCAAAAUCAAACCGAAUGAAAAUUUCCAAAUUGAUUUUUUGAAUUCCCAAAUUACAAGCAAAUUUUGCAAAAAAAACAUCUUUGGCAUCGGUGUGAGCGAAUUUAAAUCUCUAAAAGGAAAUAUAGUAUUUUCAUUUUUUUUUUAAUGUAAGGAUAGAUAAUGGAAUCCUUACUAGGGCUCAAUCCACUUCUCGGCACGCGGAGGGAAGUGGUGUGUAACACCUGAUGAAAGAUUUUCUGGUAAGAAAGACAAGAAGACGAUAAGAAAAAAAAAUAUUUUAUUUAAUUUUAUAGUUUGUUUUGUAGUUUAGAGAAAAAUGUGUAUAAAUUUUAACUUCUAUUAGUGCAAAGUAGAUUUUGUUUUGUGUAUUUUUUAAUUUGAUUUUAGGUUUAGGCUUAACAAACAUGUAUUACACAUUUAGUAUUAAAAUGAAAAUGAAAACAUGGGCUAAAAAAUGACCUUAGGGCAUGUUUGGCGCGCGGGUUUCAGGGGGUAUGGAUUGUACAAAAUUUUCAGCACCAUGUUUGGUGCGGAUAAUUAAGGUGAGACUAUGUAUAAAUAAAUCAAGUUUGGAUGGCUCAUAAAGACCCGCCCAUUCCCCGAGUUUACGCGGGUCUUGCCACAUUUACCUUUUUUUUUUAAUUUUUAACUCAAUUCUUUAAUUUAUUUUAAUUAUGUAUUAAAUAUAAAUAUUUAAAUCAUGGCCGACGACUUGACCACCGUCGGGCGCCAACUAUUGUUAUUUUCCGGCAUCUUUUGACAUUAUUAUUAGUAUCAAUACAAUUAUUGUCCUGAGCUCUACACGACCGUAUCAAGAUCUUCGGCAACGGAGCUACCGUUUGAUGUAGAUCUACAAUUAAAGUUUUGAGAUUCAAAAUUUUAAUUGUCGAUCUACGGCGAAUGGGAGCUUCAUUUUCGGUGAUUUUAGUACCAUUGUGUAGAGCUCGAUAAGAGAAUUACAAUGAUAUUAAUCAUUACCUAAACAAACAAUGUUAAAAAAUUUCCAGUGGUUGUCAAUGGUGGCUGCCAGUGAUUAAUUCAUUUUCUAUUAAUAAAAUUAUAGUUUAAUAUAAUAUAAUCAUAUUAAAUAUUAAAAUACACAAUACAUUCCAUACUUACACAAGGUUAAUGUAUUAUUUAAUACCUUUUAAUACAAUAUAAUCCAUUACAAACCAAUACAGACUACUACAAUCCCAUCUACCACAGACCACCUUAGUGUUUUACUUGCCAAAUUUUGUUGGAUAACGCGCAUAGUCAUGCACUAUGUGCGAUGAUACAUAUGAUGAAUAUUUACUAAUAAAAUUAUGUGUCCACGAUUCAACUCUACCAAUAAAAAUAUAUCACAUGCAUUGUCGUUCACCAUAACGUGCGCGCUUAGUUAAAAUUCUUUAGUUAUAUAUACUGAUUUCAUUCCACAUUUACUCUUAUUACAUACAAAUUAUCAUAUAUUACACUUUUGUGAAGGAUGGUAAUGAAUCGAUCAAUGCUAGUCUAUUGAUGAAUAGUAAUCAUGAGAUAAGAGUAUUCAAUUGAUUCUACUAAAGCAAGGGUACUUGCACUUGGAUUAUGAAAUUAGAUCCUUAAGAGUCUUUCCAGUCAUACUAAUGUACCGACAUUCUGAAAAUCUUUUUGCUUUUUGUAAAAAAGAAAACAGAUGCUCAUAUGGCAGUGGCUAGAGCUGAAGCAACAGUGGCGUCGUCCCCCUGAAAAUUAAGAUAAUCCAAAGUAAGUGUCUUCUUCUCAGCCACGUUGGAAACCCCCUCCUGAAGGUUGGUUUAAAAUGAAUGUGGAUGCAGCAAUCAAGUCAAAAAAGAUCAAUAUGGUUGGUUGGAAUCGCCAUCACGAACCACAAUGGAGAGUUCGUAGCUGCUGCUGUAGCAUCUGCGGAAGCUAGAGCAGCAAAUUGGCGACUAGAAAUUGCAGGAGAUGCUGCAUGUAUUCCACUGAUUGGUGAAUCAGAUUGCCAAGAAGUGAUGAACCUAAUCACGGAAAAGAAGAGCAGCAAGAUGGAGAUUGUUUGGACCAUUUCUGAGGCCUUCAAAUUAAGAAUAUAUAAUGCUAUAAAUAUUUCGACAUAAGCCUAGAAGUUGUAGCUCAUGCUUCAGUUCAGUUAGUCUAGCUUCAAAGGUUGUUGAACCCGUUGUUUGGCUGGGGACUUGCUCGCCCUAUCUUUUGUACUCAACCACCAGUCUUCACAUUUUUAUUACUAAAAAAGAAGGAAAAUAAAUAUAGUAUUAUUUAUUUAUUUAUUUUUAAUGCAAGGAUAGAAAAUGGAAUCAUAACUAGGGCUCAAACCACUUCCUUCCACGUGGAGGGACGUGGUGUGUGACACGUGACGGAAUUGCCGCGGCUCAAAUAUUUGGAUUUCGAAAAGAUGGCGCAGAGAUCCCCGCUACCCACCCACCUCAAAUCAAUCGUCUCUUUAUUUCAUAAGCUUUUAUUUAUGUUGAAAAGCGUGAAAUGCAUUUACUCUUUCUCUGUUGAUUUCCUGACUAGAAAUAAACAAAAUAUGUAUUUAAUAAAGGGAGCCCUUAAAGUUAUAUGUAAUGUAAUUUACACCCACAAAUAAUAGGUGAUGUGAGGUUCAUCUAUUAUUUGUGAGUGGUACAUGUAACUUAGUAUUUAUUUUUUAUAAUAAAAUAUUACAUGAAAAAAUCGCUUUAGUUAUUUUAUACAUGAUUCUUUCAUUAAAAAAAAAUUAAUGGUUAUGAAAAUAAUAUAAUGUUAUUAUUUUAUAUAUUCACAAUCAUUGAAUUUUCAUCAAAUCAACUGUGAAAUGGUUAUGUAUCUUACGUAAUUAUGUAAGAUAACAACCUCGAAAAAUCUAUUAUCAUAUGUUCAUGUCCAUUUCUCGAUGACUCAACAUGGGCGUUCGUAGGAGCAACGUAAAAGAUUAGUUGAUAGGGAAUCAAGAGAAAAUUUGGAAGGAUAAGAUUAAGAACAUAGAAGCGGUUGUCAUGGCUGAAAAGGCAGAAAAUUAGAGAUUUUUCAUGUCCUUUUUUGCAAUUAAAGUUAAUUAAAUCUGAUGCGUUUGGGUUUGGAGUUCUCGCCAAAUGGGCUCAACUCGUUGGCGCCUUUUCUUUUCACUUUCGGCAAAGGUUUCGUGAGAGAGCUCCACGUGUGUGGAAAUUGGAAUGCAAACAUUGAAAGCUCUCAAACUUAUAAAGAAGAAGACCGUCGAAGAGUUGAAAACCUUAGAAGACGGAUCUGCCCCUAGACCGACCUCAGAGUUAACUACCAUUUUCCUUUUGUUGUUUUUAUUCAACACAGUAUUUUUUACACCGCACGAUUCACCUACUCGGCAUAUCACAGUCCUUCACUCCCAUUGAGGAGCCUAUAUUUAACAAGCCUCCUGGAGGAGGAAAAAAGAAAAAUCCAUCGAACGAAGUAACCAAAACAGGAACUGAAAAUGAAAAUAAAAUUGGCAGCUCACUUUCUGCUGCUGUUGGCCUUCAGUGCGUUCAUGCUCUCGGAGGCCGAAACGCAGCUGAAACCUCAUGCUAUUGAAUCGUUUACCGUCAAUUAUAUUCAGGUACGAGUGUGGUUCUUUUUAUUAUUAUUAUUAUUAGUAUUUGUGAACUUGGUAUAUUCCGUUGUAUGUAUUAUGUUUGAUAAUUGUUUUAUUUUUAUUUUGAACCAAAAAUAGAAGUUCGGGAACUGCACGUACCUGGUGGUUAUAAAAACUAGCUGCGACUCAAAAAACUUUACUCGUGAUAGGAUCAGCAUCGCUUUUGGUGAUGCUUAUGGCAAUCAGGUUUGCUUCUUUUCUUUUUUUUAGAACAUAUAUAUUUUAUUUUAUUUCAGGUUUAGGCCAGGAAAGUAGUUUUUAUGUUUUUCUAUUUUUUCUUUUGAGAAAUUUUUUUUUAUGUUUUUAACCAGUUCGUUACUGUUAUGAUGCAUAUAUAAUUUUUUGAGAACGAAGUCAAAAUAAUUCAUCCAUGGGUUUCGUAUAAAAAGUUGGCUUUCAAAUUAAAGCACAAGGGCUUUUUAAUAUUAAAAGAACAAAAAUUAAGCACAACCCUAAAACGGGCUCGCAGAGUUUGUGUGUGGGCUGUCGCAGACUCCCAGAUGAUAUGUUACAAAAUUUAUGGGGGUUGUAUUCGAGCGCUGUCUUAUGUAUCGAUCAUAGGUGUUUUUCAAAGCAAUUGCUUCUUGAUGAAGGGCUUGUGCUUUAAUUUGAGUUUAUAGAAGUAAUUGUGCUGCUAAUUAGGUCAGUUACUCUGCUAGUACGCUCAUGCUUCUUGAAUAUUUUCGAGAGCUUUAUCCAGAAAUAUAUUUAAAGCUAACAUCUUAGUGGAGUUUGAUGUUGAUUUUUUUCUUCUAUGGUAAUAAUUAAUAUUGUUGAAACAAUGAUAAUCAGAUUUAUGCACCGAGACUGGACGAUCCGUUCACCAAGACAUUCCAAAGUUGUUCGUCCGAUGGGUUCCAGAUUGACGGACCAUGUGCAACCGAUAUCUGUUAUGUGUAUUUGCACCGAUCAGGACUUGAUGGUUGGGAACCAGAGAGUGUGAAGAUUAUCAGUCCAAAUUCGAGCCCUGUCACAUAUGACUUCAACACCUCCGCUCCCAAUGAGGAUUGGUACGGAGUCAAUUUGUGCCAGAUACAUCCUCCUCCUUCUCCAUUUGAACCUUCGCCUCCUUUUCCAAUUAAACCUCCGCCUUCUCCUCCAUCUUCUUCUCAUCAGCAUCGCGUUCCCGGAUUGUUCGGGCUCGUAAUGAUUCUGGGAUCCAUCCUGAGUGCUCUGUUGUAAGCGCCCUUGAUGGUUUGUUUGGUUUUAUGUAUGUGAUUCUGGGAUAGUCCUAAGUGUUUCUGUUAUGUGCUUGCAACUACUAUCUGCCGUUAUUUUGUCUGCGGCACGAUUGGUGCAAUAAUAUGUCAUGUUGUUAUUAGUUGUAAUAGGAUAUUUAUCCAUGUCUGCCGGAUAUUUUGUAAGCUUUAUAAUAGUUGUGAACCGUGCUUUUGCAGCUAUUAAUUAACUAAUGUUGUUUUGUUAUUAACUACUCUUUGCAUAGCCCCUUCAAGAUGGGGGUUUUAUUUCAUGAUCAAGAUUUUCCCUUGAUUUGAUUAUAUUUUGGGAUAAAAUUAUGUUGCAACUAUGGUAUGCUACUGCAGUUGUUUUCAGUCGUUAGAUGUACAGUUAUAUAGUUAUAUUAGUUGGAUCUAAUGAUUGAAAACAAUUGUAGUAUCAUAUUAUAGUUGUAACAUAGUUGGACCCCAAUUGCAUGAUUGAUAGUUUAUAAAAAAAAAAAAUUGAAUCUUCUUCAUUCACUAUCACUAAAAGACACAUUGAAAGAAGAUUUUAAAAAAUUCAUAAGAAAUCAGAUCAAGAAAUGAUCAUUUUCUUUCGUUUCAUGGCUUUGCCUUAAACGCAAUUGAGAGUGGCCUUGGGCUCUUGGACAUUUUAUUUAAGAAAGGUGCUGGAAUUAAUGGUGUUACUGGAGGCGUCGCUAAAAGCAAUCGGCUAUAAUUUACUUGGUUAUUGUUUCGCAGCAAAGCUCGUGUUUCUUGAUGUGUCGUCUGUGUGGCCGUUGAUUUCAAUUCUCGAUUACGUGUCAUCUCUGUUCAGUUGAGUGAGCUUUUUCUUUUUUGGUCCCCAUUGCCUACAGCCACGAAUUUGAAAAACGUAAGACAUGUCGUCAUGUAGACAAAUUUGAACGGUGACGGUGUAGUAGUGGAGCCGAUUGAGACACGAUAUCGACUGAUUAAACUUACUUUAUAUGGGAAUCUUGUGAAAUUUUUAAUUAUGAUUUUUUAGGGUGACGACAACUUAAUUCAUUUUUCUAUAGAUGCAUGAGUUGGUUUUGAAUCUUAGUGCUUUUGAUUUUUACAUAAAAUUAUAUUAUCUCAACUAAAUAGUCUAUACAGAUUACAAAUGUUAUAAGAAUAUACUUUUAAGUGUUGUGAGAUGUUUUCAUUACUAAUUUACUAGUACUAACUUUUUUUUUUCUAAAAGAUAAAUUAAUUAGCGUCCAAAAUAUUAUUGUAAGAAUAUUAUUAUAAAAAUUAAGGAAAAGUAAUUUUUUAAAAGAUAAAUUAAUUAAUGUUAAGAAUAUUAUUAUAAAGAUAUUAAUAUGAAAAAAAUAACAUAAUUAAUUGUAAAGACAUUUUAAAGUGUUGUUAAAAAUAUAAGUGCUUUGGGGUAUAAAAAAUAGUUACUUGAGUUCGAGGAGAAAGUUAUUUGGUCACAUGUGCAAGCGCGACCAACGUUCUGUUAGGAGAAUAGAAUCAGGUCGCAUGGCUUUGGUUAAUAUCUCAUAUUGUUGAGCUUCAUUUGGAAGCUCAUCCGUAACGUAUAUGCACGCUCUGCUUUAAUGUUUAAAGCACAAUCAGGCAUUAUAAUGGUUGCUCAACAACUAGAUAAAUUGAUAUAUUAACUCUUAGAUUCAAGUGGCAUACUCAAUUUGGUAAUGACCACGCAGUAAAGAACGAACAAUAACGCGCGACAUGCAUAGUUCUCUAUAAGAACUGGGGGAGAUCCAGAAAAUGGAUUUUUUUUGGGGUUUUGAUUAAAAAAAUAGAAUUCUAGAAAAAAUACAAAAUACUUAAAAUCACAAGUGUGACAUUAUUAUUUUCCUUACAAAGAAAAACCUGAUUGCUGACUUGAGCGUUGGAAGGUUUUUACUAGAAAAAAUACGGCGUCCCUGACAGUUUUCUGUUGUUGCAGAUCAAAGGAAAUGUCAGUACAAUUCAAAUUCCACUACAGUAUCAAGCGACAAAUGCCCCAUCAAAAUAAAUUAAAGUGUUGGCGAGACAAUUUGGUCGCCGACCGAAUUACGGCAUCAACAAUAAAAAUUAAAUAAGAACUUAAGUUAAAAUAUAGAAAUUAAAUAAAGAUUUAUCCUAAGUUUAGAUAUCAAAUUUACUACGGAUCUUUGAUGGAGAAAGUUACCAAAAGAAACAAAAAGUCCAAAUUUUUGUCUUCAAAAGAUAGUGCACCUAGAUUGACCCUUAUAUACUAGAAGAAAGAGAUGGGAUUGAUUAUCCUUCACACAAGCUUCAAGAUAAUUCUUUUUAACCAAAAAAAAAAAAUUGUAAAAGGGAUUAAGAUGCGUAAAAUACAUUUUUUUCCCCCAAAAUUGCGUAAAAUACUUGAUGAAAACAUGCAAGGCAGUGGAGUCAAACUCAAUCGAGACACUGAGUCAGAUAAUUUGAUAGUAUGGUUCACCAUUGUCGACGUCUGCAUGUUUUGUCAAAGAAUGACUCCCAACCGUUUUCCAACAGAAAAACGGGUGUAGUUGGCACUAUUGGUUAUUAAUUAUUUAUUAUUUUACAUUUUCUAAUUGAUUAUUUUAUCAGCUUCCACGUGUGGGUAAGUAUAGUAGAAUAUCAUUGAGGCUCUUUGAAAAAAAAAAAGAAAGUAUAUGCACCUAAUUUCGCUUGAGUAUCUAAUUUAACCAACCAAUUGUGGACCAUGAUAGCCUAGUCUUCUUGAUGUUACAGCCAUUAAAUUGCCAAUCGGUGCAAGCGGUUUUUUUUUUUUAAUAGUAAAUGAUUUCAUUUCCAGUAAAACACAAUAAUUAUAAUAAAAUUUCGAUCUUUAUUGGGACCUCUUCGAUCCACACUCGAGGUGUUGAAAUGAAAAAAGUUAUUUUUUUUCUAAAGCAUGGGCCACUAAGUUAUAAGACCUAAAAGUAUAAGCUAUCUGAUAUUGAUUAUUUUGUUCUAUCAUAACUCUAAUAUCAUAAAGUAUCCAAUCUAACUCUUCUCUACUAGAAGUACCAUUGAGAAUAAAGUUGACAACAUUCUUGGAAUCAUACCCUAUAAGAAGAGGAGAAAGAGCAACAUCCACUGCCAACUUUAUUCCUUCUAAAAUCACUGAAGCUUCCGUAAUUUCUACAUCUCCUAAGCAAGGUUUCUUUGAUGUUGCAGCAGCCAUUACGGCUCCUUGAUAAUCUCUGAGAAUCGGUGCAAGCGGUUUUGGCUCAAAAUGCUUGCUGGUCUUCUAGAAUCUCAUACUUAAUUGACUAGAGAAGUGGAUAGACCUUCACUACCAAAGGGUCACACUACCUCCUCCUUCGAAGUUCAUUUCUCUAGGAUAAUUAUACUUGAUUUUUUUUUCUAGGGAAAGAUUCAUUGGGAUAAAAACCCAAGCAGAAGAAAUAGAAUUUAAUAACUCAUAAUGUAGUGCCUAACGUGCUUCGAUUGUGAUGUGAUUAUGUAAAGCACAGAGUUAUAAUCAUGGACCAACUUGAAAUAUUACACUAGAAACUACUUCCACUUGGGUGAGAUAUUAUGCUCUUUAAGCAAUAAUUUCGUAUCAGUUCAAACAAUAACCUUGAUUGUGUUACUGAGUCUCAUGGCUUUUAGAUAAGUUAUUGAGGUAUAUGGCUUGUAGAUAAAUCACCGAUGAAGAAUAAUUUUCACCGAAAAAUACUAUAGGCUUCAAAUUCAGACUUUGAUGGAUUUGCUAUCUUCAAUUGAUCUUUAGGGGUUUUGGAAUCUUCAAAUGCAUGGCUUUAUAUGUGUGUAAGAAUAUUCAAAUUCUGUCUUCAUUCUGUCGGGUUUUCCUUGCAAUAUUAGUAACAAAUAAAUUUAAAUAAAAAAAACACACAAUAACUAGCCUCAUUUUGUUUAAUGUAGAAGAUCCAAAUUAAUAUGACAAUGAUAGAGAAUACGUAUAAUUAAAUAAACUAGUAAAAUAAAGAGUAGGGUAUAAGAUACUUUCUAUACCCGAGCAAUAAUCAUAUUGAUAACAUGUUAUAAUGUUGAUGAAUUUGGGUAGGAAGCAUUUAACAAUUUUAAUAGAUAAUAUAGAUGAUAUAGAGAUAAGGGGGCUGUGUCAUAUAAAUACAAAGCAUUUUUCUCCCACGCUUAAUUACGGUUGCGUUUAGAAUUGAGGUUAUUCAGUAGUAACUUAAAAGUGACAACACUAAAGUGUUUGGUAAACAUUAGCUGCUAUAGUUUGUAAGCUAUAUUGAUAUGAUUUUUCACUUGUAUAAUGAAAAGUUUAUUAUAUAUUUAAUAAUUUUGUCAAAAUAAUUAUUUAAAAUUUAUAUUUACUAUAUAUUAUUAACUUUUGUUUAAUAGUUAUAAAAUCUUUUUCACAGCAACUAUAACUUAAAAACUACAACACCUCAAUCCCAAACGGAUCGGUUGUCCAAUUUCAAUUCCUGUCUCACUAGAAUAAUAAGCUUAAUUAAGUGUUCAGCUCCUUAGCUUUAUAUCAUAUAGCCCCCUUAUCUCUGUAUCAUAUAUAUUAUGCAUUAAAAUUAUUAAUAUAUUCCCUACCCAGAUUUCUCUCAGAUUUGAUCGUGCGAUCUUCAAAGUCAAAAACUUUUAAAAAAAGAAAAUAGUCCGCGUACCUAAACUCAAUUUUUCUAUGGGUGAAUCUGACCCGUAGGAAAAAUAGUACAAACAUCUAUUAUGAUAACGAUACAUUUGAGGACGAUGGCCAAAUAUUUUAUUUUGGUGAAGAUAAGGUUAUAUAUAUUUUAGUGGGACUAUUGUCAUGAAUUUUUAAUCUAUUUAAGAUCUUGCAAAUUAAAAUAUCAAAUAAAAAACAAACAAACAAUAAAAUCAAUCAUAUAAUAUAAGAAUUUGCAUGAAAAAAUCAUAUAUUAAAAAAAACUAUAACUACAAAGAACAAUAAGAGAAAAAUCUAUUAUGUGAAAAAUUAUUAUAAUCAGUUUAAUAUUUUUUUCACAUACAAAAUACUAAUAAUAUCCUAUCUUUCAAUAGAUCUACCAUUUUUCUUAUACUAAAAACUGUUUAUUUACAGAGAAAUUGAGUGAUUUACAAGUGAACCCAACUUCUACAUUUAUAGUGAUUAUUUAUUGUACAAGUAAUAUUCAUUUUCUUAGAAGAAUUAUAUUCAGUCAUUGAAUAAGUUAAGUACUAAAACGAAAAGACUCAUUAAAUAAUAUUUUACUUCUCAUUUGAAGUAGCCACAUUAUUAAUAAAUGUUCAAAAAAUUAUACAAAAGAGAUUUUUCAAGUUAGAGCAUCACCAAAAGACUCUUCAAAUAAGAUUUUAUUAAUUAUUUGAAGAGCCACCUCAAUAUUUAAGGCUCCAAAAGACAUUCCAAUUAAGAUUCUUCAAAUAAGAAAUGAUUCUCUCUCUUCAAAUUUGGAGAGUUGAUUUCUCCCUCUUCAAUUUAUAUUUUAUUACUUUUCAUUGAAGAAAGAGAGAGAAGUGCUUUAAUUACUAUUGACUUUUCCUUUAAAAAAAUAAUUAUUUGAUUAAAAUAAUAUUAACUUAUUUCUAUUUGAAGAGUCUUUUGGAGAAUAUCAUAUUUUUUCACCAUUCUAUUUGCCACAUAGGUAAGCAAAUAAGUAUUUGAAGAGUAAAAUUUAUAGAGGCUUUUGGAGAUGCUCUUAGAUUGUCAUUCUCUCUUCUCAAUAUUAAAGAGUGACUUUUAUUUUCAAUUAAUAUUAUAUUAUUUUUUAUCUCAUUAUUAUUAAAAAAAUAAGUACUAUAAUUACUAUUAUUAUUAUUUUGGUUGAGAAAAUAAUUUAAUUAAAAUAAUAUUAAUUUAUUUUUAUUUAAAGAGUUUUUUAAAGGAUGUCAUAUUUUGUUAGGUAAAUAAAUAAGUAUUUAAAAAAUAAAAUUGGAAUAGUUUUGGCUAACGCUCAGUUGCUUAUAGAACAUGGCCGGCCGGCCACUACUCACACAGUGAAAAUAGUUAAAAGACAGAUUUGCCCUUAAGAGCGAUGGAACGUCGGGGAUUUGUAAAUUUCCCAAAAAACACAGGCUUGCUAACUUUUUAUUCACCCCACACGAUUCAACUACCCGCAGGCUGCGGCAACAUUAGCAUAUUUAAACAAGGUUUCUGGGGAAUUGAAUAAAAAAUUAACAGGAAAAAAGAAAAAAAAAUCGAAAAUCGAAAAUCGAAAAUGAAAAUCGCAGCUCCCAUUCUGCUUCUGUUGGCCUUUGCGUUCACGCUAUCUGAAGCCGAAACGACGAGCUUGCAGCUGAAGCCUCGAGCUUUCGAGUCCUUUAACGUUAGUUAUAUUCAGGUACCGUAGUUAUUAUUUUAUCUCUCUCUCUUUUUUUAAUAAAUUUAUUAUUUUUUGAGUAGUUGUUGAUAAUCGUUUAAUUUUUUAACCAAAAAAUAGAACCUAGGGAGCUGUUCUUACACGGUGGUCAUAACUACCAGCUGUUCCUCAAGCAAGUACACUCGCGAUCAGAUCAGUAUUGCUUUUGGAGAUGCUUACGGCAAUCAGGUUUUCAAUUUUAUUUUUUUAAAUUUAAAAGUAUCUUUUAAUUUCUUCAGUUUUUAAAUCAGUGUUUUUGUCCUUUUUUUUUUUAAUGGUGAUUCUGGAUUUCAUUUUUAGGAAGGAAAUUGAUAAUUAGAUUUUUGUUUGCUUAAAUGGAAAGUGAUGACCAGUGAUGUAGAAAUUUUUAUGUAUUUAACUGUAGGCUUUUUAAUUUCAUUUUAUUUUUGAGAGCAGAGCAGAGAAAGUAUAUUAGGGUAAAGUUCAGUUGGCUGGAGUUAAUAAAUGCAUGGAUGUAAGAUCAGUUUGGGUUUGAAUUGCAGUGGUUUUAGUCAACAAUUGCUGUGAAAUUGAAUCACUUGUCGUUAAGUUAUAAAGUUGGCGAUUAGCAGUUGAGUAAACUUCAGUUGUGCCUUUUAAAUUAAGUUCAAGCACAACAACCAGAAAUGGGCUCGUAGUCUUAGUCUUUGCAUUGGGUUCUUUUCAUUUGAGAUCCUGUUCCUGGGCGAAAUGCUUUUGUGCUCUUGAAGGAGAUAUUUGUUUAUUUCAGCUUAACACUAUAAUACAAGUAGACCACAAUGCCUAAUUGAAAAUGUUUUGUUCGGACCCAGAAUAGUCUCAAACUUGUAAACCAUCGUUGCGGUGGGGGGCACCUCCUUAGCUCCUUGCCUUCUUCUCAUGAUUGAUGGUUUGAGUGUCCCAGUUUGUUGUGCUAGUGUUUUCUUUGAAUUUCCUGAGUUCACUUUGAAGUAUGCUUGGCCAGAGCACAUAUCAAACUUCUUAUGAAAGUUGAACUAAUUUAAGGGAUUUUGAGUGGAAUUCUCGUAACCUAUUAGUAGAUGUGUUGUUGCUCCAUAUUAAAUACAACAGAAAGCAAUUCUUUAUGUAAUGCAUUCAUUUUGUUUCUAAAGGUCAGGUUUAUCUAGAAAUAUAAAACUACACUAUUCUUAUAGUCAAAUGUGGAUUACUAAUAUAUUUGAAACAUUUGUAAUCAGAUUUAUGCACCAAGACUUGAUGAUCCGUCUACCGAUGCAUUUGAAAGUUGCUCCUCUGAUACAUUUGAGAUAAGAGGACCAUGUGCGUAUCAAAUCUGUUAUGUGUAUUUGUAUCGAACUGGACCGGAUGGUUGGAAACCAGAGAGUGUGAAGAUUUAUGGUGCUAAUUCGAGAGCUGUCUCAUUUUACUACAACACCUUUAUUCCCAGUGAUAUCUGGUAUGGAUUCAAUCUGUGCCGAAGUGCUUCUUCUGCACAUCAACAACAUGUACCCAGAUGGUCUGUGUAUGUGAUUCUGGGACUCCUCUUAUGUGCUCUGUUGUAAGCUCCCAGAUGUUUAGCGUUUGUGAUUAUAGGACUUGUCCAAAGUGCUCCACUGUGAUCUCUCAAUCAUCAUUUGCUGUUGUUUGUGUAUCAUACAAUUACAUAUAAUCUGCAUUUUGUUAGUUAUAGUCAGAUGUAAUCCAGGUCUAUUAUGAAUUAUCACUUGGAUUAUUUUGUGAGAGAACAGAGCACUCAUUAAAUACUACUCUAGAAGGUGUUACCAGAUGCUUUUGUGAGAACCGUUUCUCAGAGCACUCUAUAAAAAUUUGGGAUCAUUGAACAGUAUAUUUUACUGACUUGACUGUUGCUCUGCAGUAAAUUAAAAGCUCGUAAAUCGCUGACCCUUCUUAUUCCUUAAAGUCUCGUGUGAUAGUUGAUUUUAAUUCUUGAUGUAUCAUCUCUAAUCAGUUGGGCGAGCUUGCAAAUUUGGGAAGGUUCUCCUUUGUUGCCCAUUGGCGAUCCGGGUUCCGGGUUUAUCAAGUGAUGCCCAAGACCGACCUGGCUUCAUACCCUGGCCGGGUAAUAUCCGGCCCGCAAUGCCCGGGUACGGUCCGGGUCCGGACCGGGCGGGUAUUUUUGCCACCUCUAGGCGCAAGCCACUGGACACUUGACUUUGCUGUGAAUGUUGACAAAUCGAGCGGGCAGGGAAUUAGUCAAUUGAGACAAGAAAUAAAACUAAACUUAUUUGGUUCGGAGAAUAUGUUCACUAUCAUGAGAGCAUCUCUAAAAGAUUUUUUAAAUAAAAUUUUAUUAAAUACUUCAAAAGACGCGUUAAUUUACAUUUUUCAGAUACGAUUUGUUUAUCACUUUUCAAUAUUACUUAGUGAUUUUCUCCCUCUUUUAUUAAUAUUUUAUUAUUAUUUAUUGAAAAGAUAAGAGUGCAAUAAUUAUUAUUUAUGUUUCCUUUUAAAAAUAUAAUAGCAAUUCAAUUUAAUAGUGGAAAGAUUUGAUUAAAAUAAUGUUAAUUUAUUCUUAUUUGAUGAGUCUUUUGGAGGAAAUUGUAUUUUUCCACCCACUUAUUUGCCACAUCAGUAAGCAAAUUGAUAUUUGAAGAGUAAAAUCUAAAAAGUCUUUUGGAGAUGCUCUGAACACCAUUAAUUUGGGGGUUUUUAAUUAAAUACCCUUUAAUAGUUGUAAAAUUAUUUAAAUAUCCCUUUUUUUUCACAAAAACCCUAACAAAUAUGUAUGAAAUCUAAAAUGUGAAUGCAUGAAAUCUACUCCUUUUCACUGUCUUCUUAGUUCUUAAAUUCAAAUCUCUUCUUACUGAAAUUCUCUCAAAAUCUCUUAUAACCUCUUACACAAAUACAACUAUGUAUUCACUUCUUUUUUUUUGAAUAAUUUUCAUUGACAUUUUCUACAUAGCAACAAAUAUAAAUUCUUAUAACAAAUUAAGUCUUUAAAGAACUAAAUUAUUCUAAUGAAUAAUGAACAAAGUCGUGUAAUACAUGGAGGUUGUGUAAUCGCGUAAUAUAUGAAGUCGUGUAAUACAUGAAGGUCUUGCAAUACAUGAAGUUGUGUAAUAUAUGAAGGCGUGAAAGUCCUGUAAUACAUGAUUCAAGAUCACGUAAUAAUACAAAAAGUCAUGCCAUAUACGACUGAGGAUUGUGUAUUACAUGAGUGUAUUACACGACAUUAAAUCAUGUGUUACAUGAUCUUACACAAUCAAAUCAUAUGUUACAUGACCUUACACAACCGAAUUAUCAUCGGUACAAUCCAUCAAUUUUUCACCAUUUACAUGGAACAAAAAACUAGAAAUUUGUAUGUUAUGAGAGACUUACAACUAAUUUAAUUUAUUUUUACAAUAUAAGAUCCUAAAUUUUUUAUUUUUCUUUAAAUAUAAAAAAAAUUUAAUUACAAGGAAUUACUUUCCUAAAGUAGUUAGGUUCCAACAAUUUUGCAGCAAAAAAUCAAUUUUCGUCGCCAAUUGUGCAGUAACAAACCAAGCUUCUCUUUCUCAGUUGCAGCAGCUUCCCCUUUUGAUGUCUAGUUCAACAUGUAUGAGUGUUUGUUUGAGUCAUGUUAUGUUUGAUUUGUGUAAGUGUUUUAAGAUGAUGAUAGUUUAGUAAUUUCAUGUGAGUUUUUAGAGGAUAUUCAUGAAAAUUUUGGUAAAUUCUAUUUUUAGGGUAUAGAAAUAAUUUUGAAAGUAUGAAGGUGUAUCUGCUGCAAUUACCUCCAUAAUUUUCUCUAUGUUAUCGUUACUUUUGUAUGUUUUGACGAUUUUUCUUUUUCUGUAAAUAUGAAAGUUACUUGAUUGUUGGUUUACUUAAUGGCUGUUAAAGACCAAUUCCAAAUCUUAUGUGGUAUUAUUGACAAUAGUUAAAAGUUGGGGCAUCGGAAUAAUUGUUUCACCACGAAUAACAAGUGCUUUUAUGCUGUGACAUCAGCUCCGAGUACAACCGCUUUUGGAAGCAAAAAGUGUUAAAAUCUAACGGUAGAUAUCAAAACAAAAUAGGGUUUCAUAUCUGACGGUUGAGAAUCUCUCCUCUGUUAAACCAUAAAAGCAGAAACCCUAAACUCUUUGCCUCCUCUUUCUCUCCUGCUCCCGCAACUCAUUGCCACAUCAAAUUUGUAGCAGGAGACGCCCUCUGCUGUUUCUUUGUAUCUCAUUUUAAUUUUUGUAACUUAACAUAACCAUUCAUGCCUUCGAUCGCUUUGUUUGACGGAAAAGAAGUGAAAGACGAGAAGAAGAUGAAUAAGAAAAUGGCUCUCAAGGACUUCGAAGAAACGGAGGCGGCGUUAACUGAGAAGAGUUCGGAUAAGAAGAAGAGCAAGAAGAAGGAGAGUAGUAAGAAGCGGAAGGAAUCGGAGAUUGAGGAGGAGGAAGAGAGAAGCGAAACGAGCUCGGAGUUAGGCGAGCCGGUGAAUUUGAAAUCGGAGAAGGAGAAAAAGAAGAAGAAGAAAGCGAAAGUUGAGCCUGAGGCUGGAGUGGAAGAGCAGGAGAGGGGUGAAAGCGAACAUCCGAAUGCGGUUUCGAGGUUUAGAAUAUCGGUGCCAUUAAGGGAAAAGCUCAAGUCCAAGGGGAUUGAGUCUUUGUUUCCUAUUCAAGCUAUGACUUUUGAUAUGGUUCUUGAUGGCUCUGAUUUAGUCGGACGUGCACGGACCGGUCAGGUAUAAUAACUAAAUUUUGUGUAAUUUGUUAAUUUUGAUUAGCUAGUGUAAGCAAGUAAUUGUUUAGUUGUGUUAUUAAUGGUAAAAUUAGAAGAAUUAUUGAGUUUUUAGGUAAAAAUUAAAUCAUAUUUCAAUUUUUUCUGUAGUAGCAAAUAUCUGUUCGAUCAAAUACUUUUUACCUGAAUAUGAUUGUAUAUUUAGCCGUGUUUUGAACCGUGCAGGGUAAAACUUUAGCCUUUGUGUUGCCAAUUUUAGAGUCUCUAACGAAUGGGCCAACAAAAGCGUCCAAGAAGACUGGAUAUGGCAGGGCUCCAAGUGUUUUGGUGCUUUUGCCUACUAGGGAAUUGGCCAAACAGGUAUGAAAUAGGAGUUAUAAAAAAGUUUAUUCAUUUUUUUUUUGGUUGGUUUGUCUGGUGACAUUUUGUUUUUGGGUUUGUUUUAGGUUCAUGAGGACUUUGAUGUCUAUGGCGGGGCAGUGGGACUGACCUCAUGUUGCUUAUAUGGAGGAGCUCCUUAUCAUGCUCAGGAGUUUAAAUUAAAGAAAGGGAUUGAUGUAGUCAUUGGAACCCCUGGACGUAUUAAGGUUAGCCAUUUACAAAAAAUUUCAGUGCUAGAAAAUAGAAUUUUGACAUGACCUGUUGUAUUAGUUAUGGAUUUCCUGAAUAAGUAUGUGAAAGUUGGGGUAUUUUGAUUGAUCAUGUGGUUGUCAACUGAAAUUUACAUAUGGUACAGGAUCACAUUGAGAGGGGCAAUAUUGACUUGAGUUCAUUGAAGUUUCGGGUCCUUGAUGAGGCUGAUGAGAUGCUUAGGAUGGGUUUCGUUGAAGAUGUUGAACUUAUUCUGGGUUUGUAUUCUUGAUAUAGAGUACGCGGAGUUCCCAUAUACUGGUUUUCAUAAGGCAAUUUUCAUGGUCUUUAAUUGAAAUAUGCAGGUAAAGUCGAGGAUGCUAAUAAAGUUCAAACACUUCUCUUCAGUGCCACCUUGCCAAGCUGGGUGAAGCAUGUGUGUUUCCCAAUUUUGAUUCUGGAUUAUUCCUUUCCUGAUUAUAUGUUAGAUCUUCUCAAAUUCUAAAAGUAGUUCUGUAAUUUACAUGUCAUGACUACCUCCUUUCUCUGUAUAACUGAACCCUUCGUCUUCCAUUUUCAGAUUUCCACCAAGUUUCUUAAAUCAGACAAGAAAACCAUAGAUCUUGUUGGCAAUGAGAAAAUGAAGGCUAGUACCAAUGUCCGGCAUAUUGUUCUUCCUUGUUCUAGUUCAGCGAGAUCUCAAGUCAUUCCUGAUAUCAUUCGUUGUUAUAGCAGGUCAGUUGUUUCUAGUUCUCAGUUACUGUUUAAUAAUAAGCAUGAUUGAUUGUUGCUCUUCACAGUUUAUUAUUUCAUUUUGCCUUAGCAAUUGUGUGAUUCUUCUGAUUCAGUGGAGGCCGAACUAUUAUUUUCACCGAGACAAAGGAAAGUGCUUCUCAGCUUGCUGACUUGCUGCCUGGUGCACGGGCUUUACAUGGGGACAUACAGCAGUCUCAACGUGAGGUAAGUUGUUCAGCAGGAUUCUUCUUUUUUUGACAUGUUAUGAUGAAAGCAAAGGGUCAAUCAGUUUUUGAGCUUAUAUACCGUCUCUGCUCUGGCAACAUAUAUUUUCAGCACAUUCAAAGAAAACAAUGCUUGAUGAGCCAUCCAAUGCUCAGUCUUUCAAAAUUUUGCAGUAAUCUCUCAUUUGAAAAACUGUAGUUUUUGACAAGUUGCUUUAAUCAUGACUCAUGAAUGGAAGCAUGGUGGCUGCUGAAUUGUUUAUUUUAGCUAGUUUGCUAUCAAGUUGAAAUGAUUGAAAGAAACUAUCAUUUUCUGUUUAUGAGAAUCUUGUACACUAAAAAUAUUUGCUAAAGAACAAAAUCACUUGAUGUUUUUGUUUUGAUUUUUAAUAAUCAAUCGUGACAACUUUAUUGAAUUUGUGAUCUUGCAGGUGACACUUGCUGGGUUCAGGUCAGGAAAGUUCAUGACAUUAGUUGCCACAAAUGUGGCGGCACGGGGUUUGGACAUUAAUGAUGUGCAGUUAAUUAUUCAGGUUUGUUUGCAUGUAUUUUUGGGAGGCUUUAUGUAAUGUCUUUUUCUGGUAUAUACUUAAACAGACCUUUGUUUUUAGUGUGAGCCUCCUCGUGAUGUAGAAGCCUAUAUACAUCGAUCUGGACGUACUGGAAGAGCAGGUAUGAAAAUGUGCAUUUAUUUCCUGUUUUAAAUGCACACUGUUUCACGGAAUGCUGAGGUGCUUUUUUUUUUCAAUUUCCCACCCCCAACCCCCAGGCAAUACUGGAGUUGCUGUAAUGCUUUAUGAUCCUAGAAAGUCAAGUGUAUCUAAGAUAGAAAGAGAAUCUGGUGUGAAAUUUGAGCACAUAUCUGCUCCACAGCCAGCUGAUAUUGCCAAGGCUGCAGGUGUGGAAGCUGCUGAAACAAUAACCCAAGUUUCUGAUAGGUAUACUUGCUAUGUC
RNAcentral lists this long non-coding RNA (81006 nucleotides) under Citrus sinensis (sweet orange). Its description in RNAcentral is "long non-coding RNA (CSIN_LNC003977)". Lineage: Eukaryota; Viridiplantae; Streptophyta; Magnoliopsida; Sapindales; Rutaceae. The record is from RNAcentral.